UUAGAGUGUGCCUAUAGCAGACAUUUUUAUCCCUCUUAUAUUAUACUGUUUUGGCUUUUAAAAAAACAUAUUUGAUAUGGCAAAAUUGACAUUUCACUUAUUUAAUAUUAAAAUAUAAAUAAUUCUUUAACGGUAACUAACUAGAUAGACAUAUUUAAAAAUAUUAGAACUUUUAUAGGGACAAUAUAUACAAAUUAAACUUUAUAGAGAUAUAUUUAUAAUACACUAUAUUUGCAGGGACCCGUAUGCAUUUAAUCUUUCUUUAAAUUUUACUAAAAUUCAAAUCAGAAGGGCUUCUUAGAACCCAAAAACAUAACAGUUGAGGGAUUAAUUUCGAAAUAAAACAUAGUCGAGGGUCUCUCCGUACAUUUUUGCUGCGCUUUGAAUUCGAGAACUCAUGUCCCCUCGGCUUUGUAGGGAUCAAACGAGAAUAAAUGUAUACGGAAAUAAUGCUUUGGGUCACACCAUAAAUAGUUUUCUCCGGAUGGUUCACGUACUGUGUUGACCCUGUGGAUCAUAUUAAAUGUAAUAAAAGGGCAAUUGUUUAUAGAGUUAAUUUCAUACACGACCCUGCAAACAUAGUGAAUGACAAAUAUAUUUCUACAAAGUUUAACUUUAAUAUAUUUUUCCUUCAAAAGUUCUGAUGUUUUCAAAUAUAUCCCUCUGAUUUGUUAUCGUUAGAGAACUAUUUAUAUUUUCAAUUUUAUCGUCACAAAUAUGUCCCUCCAAAAUCUAUAACAGUAUAAUAUAAGAGAGGUAAAAAUGUUAAAUCAGAGUUAAGUAUUUAACCUAUGAUUAACUAAAUUUUUCUAACGGAUUCUAACAACAGGGACAUAUUUAAAAAUAUCAGGGCUUUUGCAGGGACAAUAUAUGAAAGUUGAACUUUGUAGGGGUAUAUUUGCCGUUCACUGUAUUUGCAAAGACCUGUAUGAAAUUAACCCUUGUUUAUACAUCUAUGAAAAGUUUCAAACUUUUUUUUUUAUUUAUUCGACUUAAAAGGUUAAUCUAAAAAAUAUUUUUUAAUAUUUCAAGUUCUUUCAAAUAUACCUAUAAAUUAAAUUUUGUUAGUAAAUUAUUAGAAACCAUUGUUAUUUAUGUGAAAUUACUAUUUUGUUUUUUUAAAUAUACCAUCUACCAUCACCAAUUUAGAGGUGUCCGUGGACCGGAUCAGGUUCGGUGUCACGCCCCGGGGUCCCAUUUUGGUUUAAAAAUAAAGCGGAAGUGCUAAAAUUUUUUUUUUUUGAAACCUGACUCCCAGGAUAUGCCAGAUCCGCUACAAAUAUAGGGAGUCUACUGUUCAUACGGACAGAGUCUCCCCUGUAUUUGCACGGCGUCGUACAAAUACAAGAUACAUAAACAUGAUACAACCAUCACAACUGAAUAUAUUGUAACGCCCCGAGACCCACCUAUUUGGUCGGAUUUGGGCCCGCUAACAGACCGCCGAACUGACAGAGUUUUCACUAUACGUCUUAAGCGUCGCAAUCAAUACAAUUCACGAGAUUCCAACCAGAAACAGAUUUCCGGUAGAGAUUGCAUAAGGAAGUAUCAAAAAUAUGAAACAACUAAGUUAUUACAAGCAUUCACAUCACAUGCUUUUUACAAUUUACAUUUUCAUUUUCUCUUCUUCCAAAUACAAUCAAGAUUAUCACAAGUUUAUCUUUUCAUCUUUUCUACAUCCCUAGCUGGGCUGACUCGGGGUACCGCUAUCUCUGGUCUUAGUGAUAGGGCACUAUCUACGAAGCUACGCCCUUUCCUCGCGCCACCGCACCGCUCACGUGUAAACCUGAAACCCCAAAACCAUGUAGGGUGAGAACUAUUGUCCAUAGUUCCCAGUGGGUAUGGCCACCCAAGGGAAGAGCUCGACCCACCAGGUCCGAAGAAGGGACUGCAACAUGUUAGUCCAACAAAUAUAUGUUAAGUAUUGUGUGUUGGCAAGUUUCGUGAAGUGAGUCGGAGUCUUGAAGAAUCGAUGCGUAUCAUCGAAGAUCAAAGAAUUCAAGAUUUCGAAGAAAUUGAAAAAUGACUCAUGAUGUGAAUCACGAUGCUCAGGUAAAGUGUUAAUUCAUAUUAUGGUGAUUCAUAGUUAGUUGUAGGCAUUAGAAUCAUAAUAUCAAUGUUUACUGGAUUAAAAAGUGUAUCGAAAUUUUGCAAAACCCGAAACGGUGGAAAUUUGCAAAGUGUACCGGUACAGCAUCAGAAGUGUACCGGUACAAAAUGUGUACCGGUACAGCCAUCAAUAUGUAACAGGUUUCACUGUUUCGUUAGUUUUUUCUUUCCGUCAUCGUGUAACCGGUGACAGCUGAAAGUGUACUGGUACACAGUGUAAAUCAUAAAAACUUUCUAAUCGACUCCAAUUGAUUCUAAAAUCUAUAAAUAAGCUAUUGGAGUUCUCUAACAAAUCAAGCAUCACGAAAAUACAUGUUUGAGAAACCCUAGAGGCUCGGAUUUCAUCUAAAACCUAUUUUCUUCAUAAAGUCUCUUUUAGGUCAAAUCGAGAGAUUGUAAUUUGAUAUCAAUAUGUCGAUUUGAUUUUCGCUUCGCCUGGAGAUCGUUUUCCUGGUUUUCAUCGAUAUUCUAAGAGAAGGAUCACCAUAAUCAUGAUGCUCUUCGUGACGGCGUCGUGGAUUCGGCGUGAUUGACGGCAGUUCGUGGAUUCGGAUCGUGAGCUUCGUGGAUUCGGAGUGGAGGCAUUUCGUGGAUUCGAAACGUGGCGUUCGUGGAUUCGAACGUGAGGGCGUGGACAACCCAGAGGAUUGCGCGAGAUUCAUAGGAGGUUAAGAGAGGUCGAGUCCGUGGAGUCGGUAAUCACCUUGUAAUCUUUUCUCUUAGUGAAUUAUUUUUUCGCGUGUUGGUCCCGUGGAUUUUUCUCCAAGUUGGAGUUUUCCCACGUAAAUCUCGAUGUGAUUUUUAUUUUUCGCAUUAUUUUUUUAUUGCAUUGAGAUUUGUGGUUUUUGGCCGUUACACCUAUUCACCCCCCUCUAGGUGUUGGAUACAAUCUAGAUAGAUCCUUGGGCUCCUCAAAACUUUCAAUUGGUAUCAGAGCGAGAUCUAGAUAAAUUGUUAUCUAAUGGCCGAAGGCGGAAACAUUAAUCGACCACCGCUCUUCGAUGGCACAAACUAUGCCUAUUGGAAAGUUCGCAUGAGAGCUUUUCUAAUCGCAAUCGAUGAGCGCGUUUGGCAAUCUAUAGAAUUUGGAUGAAAACAUUCUAUUGAAAAGGUCGAGAAUGUUGAAACGCCAAAACCACGAAACAAGUGGACAAAAGAUGAAAACGAGUCAUCUUCGUUUAACGGUAAAGGAAUUAACGCUUUAUUCAACGCUUUAUCGCAAACGGAGUUUACUCGUGUUUCGGCAUGCGAAACGGCAAAGAAAAUUUGGGAUACUCUACAAAUUACGCAUGAAGAAACAAGCUUAGUAAAGGUUCAAAAAUUACAAAUGCUAACAAGCAAAUUCGACUCAAUUUUUAUGGAAGAAAAUGAAACCUUUACCGAGUACUACACGCGUCUACAAGACGUAGUCAAUACAUGCGCUAACUUGGGAGAGAAAAUCCCGGAUGCUAAGCUUGUUAGAAAGAUUCUUCGAACUCUUCCGGAACGCUUUCGGGCAAAAGUUGCCGCGAUCGAAACCGUAAAGCAUCCGGACGAGAUGAAAGUCGAAGAGUUAGUAGGCGCUUUACAAACGUAUGAGAUGACUUUUCCUACUAACCCAUCUUCUUCUAAGUCUUUUUCUAAAAGCACAGGGGUUGCACUCAAAUCAACAAAGAAACAAAAAGACGACUCGGAUUCCGACAGAGAUAUUUCGCUCGCCGAUUUUGAACAUCAACUUGCACUCCUCACGAAGAAGUUUCGACGGAAUUUCCGAAAGAAGAACAAUUCGGACAAGGCUUCAUCCUCUAAGCAAAAAUUCUUUUCUAAGCAUUCUUCAAGUUCUAAACUAAGGAUAAAAAACUUGUAAAGUCUUCGAAAGAAAAAGAUGAAUUUGAAGGCGAAAUUCAGUGUUACAAAUGCAAAGGCUACGGCUAUAUCGCAACGGAUUGUCCUUCAAAGAAGACUUAUAAGCAAAAGGCUUUGCAAGCUAAGACUUGGGAUGAUUCUUCUUCUAAUGAAUCAUCUUCAAGUGACGAAGAAAAAAGUGAUCAUGUUGCUUAAUUUACUAACACUUCUUUAUCUUCGUCUAAUGUUGUUUGUUUAUCCUCUAUUGCUACUAAUUUCAAUGUUUCUUUUUCUUCGCAUGACUCUUCGAGCGACCAUGGCGAAAGCGAAGAGGAAUCAAACGACGAGGACUUAGCAGAAGCAUACAACCAAUUUCUAAUUGAUUCGGAAAAGAUGACCAAGCUCAAUAAGAAGUUGAGGCGUCGGUUAUUGGACAUUGAAGAGGAGAACAAAAAUUUGAAGACCACGAAUAAAGCUCUUGAGGAGGAAAGGGAAGCAAUAUUGAAAAACAAUUCGAUCCUCCAAAAGAAGCUAGAGGAAGAGGAAUUAACGGUCAAAUAACCUAAAGACAAGAUUGGAUUUUUGGAGCAUCAAUUUCAGGAAAUUCAUGCAUCCAAUCUAGUCUUAACUAGUCAAGUUUGUCAACUCAAAUUCGAUCUUCAAAGAUUUUCUUCUGGAUCAAAGAAACUAGAUCAUAUACUCGGAUUAGGUCAAACAAACAAGUUGGACCUCGGCUAUGAAAGGACAUAUGUUGAGAAUGAUCAAACGGCGACAUCUAAAGUCUCAACAACUUUAAAGGAAAAAAUAUGUCAUCGAUGUGGAAACAAAGGACACAUCAAAAAGAGUUGCCCGGUAAAAAUAAAGAAGAAUCAUUCGGCAACUUCUAAAGCUCAAUUGACACAAUCUACGACUCGACAUUCCCCACGGAAUCAAAAGCAAAAUCAUUUAAGUCAAACACCUCUAGGGAACCGUUUUUCUAAUGCACAAUGUCAUGUUCAACCGAACCCAAAAGCAAACCGGAUUUCUAAGCCUCAACGAUAAGUUCAACCGAAGCCUCAAGCGACGAAACGACCAACGGUUGAUAAAAAAUCAAAGCAAAUUGUGCCUAAUGUCGACAAGACAAGACAACGCAAAAUCCGACAAGUUUGGAUUCGGAAAGGUGAUAUCUUUCCUUGCUCUUCGUCUUAGUUUGUUUUUUUGUAAUGCUUUGAUUGGUGCUUGUUGCAUAUUUUUAUUCAUUGCAUUACAUGAUGAUUUCCGUGUGCAAAAUUUUUUUUUAAAAAAAAAUGAUUUGAGGAAGGAUGUUUGGGAAUUUUAAAAAUUUCUUUUGAGAAAGGAGACGAUUGAAAAUCUUUAUUUUGGGGAGAUUAGAAUUUUUCAAAGUGUUUUUAACCGGAAUUCAUCUUGAAUUAACUUCAUAUUAAUUGUCGGUUUUAAUCCACUGUUUAUUAUUUUGACGAUAAUUUAAUAUAUGAUUUCUUAAUACAUAUAUUUAUCAAAAUUUUGAAAUCAAAUUUGAUCUCUUGGUGAUUAAUCUAUCUCAGUUGUGUGUGUUGGAUAUGAUAGAUGGAUAUUCGCUAAUAGACUAAAAUUUGUCAAAAUUAUUUUCAAUUGUAAGAUUGUCUAAUUUAGGGGGAGUUUAAAAUUAUUUUUUAAAAAAAGGAAGAAACUCCUAUAUUUAAAAAAUGUGGAAAGAGUUAUAUACUAAAAGGAGUGUGAAAACUAGCACCACAUGUAAGAAAGAGCUACCACCCUGGUCGUCCGGCAAGUGUGUGAGCUACCACAUAAAGAUUGAAUUGAAUAAUCGAAGAUGUUGAAAAAAAAAUAUAUUUUAGAAUUUUCAGAGUGAUAAGGUGUUAGUUUGAAAAAGUUGCUCAAAGAGCCACCCCCGAUAUCAUAUUAGUUAAAUCUCUAUUUUGAACGGAUUGCGACAAAUUGGUGUCAAUUUUGCCGAAUUUCUAAAAAUCAUUUUUCGUGUACCGUUACAUCUUGAUAAUUUUGAAACUCGAGGUCAUUUUUUAUAACAAAUUUUGAUGUUUCGGUGUAUUUUGAAAUCUUAUAAUAUUUUACCUUCAUUAUAAUGAUUCUUGGAGUAAAGUCCUUAAUUUGUAUGAAAUUAAUUUAAGUUUAAAGAAUUUUUAAAUUUAAAAUUUUGAAAUAUGGGAAAGUAUACUGGUACAAAAUCCCGUGUACCGGUACAAAUUACUGUAGCCGCGGACAUAAAACCGCUUACAGGGCUUUUUUUCUCCUCCAAAUCUAAAUCAAAUUUUGUUUUCUCUCUCUCUAAAAUCCCCAGGAGACUUCCUCUUCCAGAUCUACUCUGUUUUCGCAAAAAUUAGUGAGUAUUUAGCUUGGAUUUAGUCGUUUCAUCGCGUUCUUGCCUAUUUUUCGAGAAUAUUCCGAGUUGAAGCUAGAUCUCUAUUUUGAUUCGUUUUUGAUGGAAUUUUUGCUUCGUUUCAGUUUGUAUGCAUGUAUAAUUGCUUCUAUAACGUUUAGAUCAUGUCAUAAUGCGUUAUUUUUCGCUGAUCUAUGAUCCUUAUAUCAUAAUACAUGGAAUUUCGGGAUAGUUGUUGGAAUACCAAUUUUUUAUGAAAUUUUUUGCAUGAAUGAGUUUGAAAUAGCAUUAGUAUGCAUUCCAAGAAUAUUAGAUAUUUUUUCGCUAUUUUUACAGAUUUUUCAAAAUUUUCUUCAUGUAUGGCUCAUUUUAAUGUAGGAAAAUGACGUUCUCGCUUGUGAUUCUGCUUUUGGUGCUUAUGGCCGCCGGUCGUGGCCGUGAUGGUGGUCGAGGACGUCGCGGGACAUCAAAGAGAACUCAUACUGUCGACGAGUCAUCAGGAUCCGAUCCGGAUUAUCAAGCAAGCUCACCUGAAGCUACUGAAGAAGCUGUUACUAGGGCUGCUAAAGGAAAAGGCAUAGCAGGAGAAUCCUCGCGAUGAGGUAAUUCUCGUGCGCGUGAGAGUCGCUCCAAACGUGCUGCAGAGGCUUCAUCAGAGCGACGGAGGAUUUAUUCGAGUCGAUCAGUUCUAGUUGAGCGCUAUGUCAACUUUACUGAGCUGAUCAAGGAGGUUCCAGAUUUUGGUCGAUUGCUGCAGCCUGUAGGACGGGUUCAAGCUCGUGCUCCAUUCUGUGUGGAACUUAUUCGGGAGUUCUAUAUGAACGGGAUGGUGCUUGCAGAGGAUGAGGAGACUGGGACUUAUGUGUUUGAGACAUAUGUGCGUAACCAGAAGAUUCAAGUCACGCCUUACACUAUUGGAGAGCUCUUAGGUAUGCAUAUUGAUACUACUGGCCUUCACUAUACGACAGGGCUUUAUCAGUCUUCGACCCACUGGGAGACUGUUAUUCGAGCUAUAUGCAAGGAAGGCGUGAGGACAAAUCAUUCAUACGCGAAGGAUUUGCUACCCGAGUACCAUCUACUCUCCUUGGUGAUGAACUACAAUGUUCAACCUACAAUUGAAACAAAAAGGAUUCGUUGGGUUCGUUUGGUGCUUCUAUAUCUUCUUGGACAUCCUAAGGAAGCGGAUGGGUUGAACAUCAAUAUUCUCUUUCUGAUGUGGCAAAGAAUGGCCCAUGUUAUACAGUCUCAAGUUCGACGUGAUCUACUUCCGUUUCCGUUGUUGAUCACGAGGAUUCUUCAAGAACACGGAGUUGAUGUGUCGUGUGAGAAGUAUGACAUUGGACUUGGACCGAUAGAUAUUGUGACCUGGGCCAAGUCAAGAAGCACACUGAAGACUUUUCAGCAAACUAAGGGAUCAUCCAAAUGAGCUUCUAGUUCAGUACUUCCACCUCGAGCAGAGCGUGAGGGAUCUUCAAGCUCAGGGAGAGUGAUUACUGUAGAAUCACUUCACCAUGAAGUACGCUCUUUGAAGAAGAAAGUAGAAAGUGGCAGAUCUUGCUAGAAAGGUGGAGAUGGGAAUGAAGAGAAUGAUGGAGAAACUGGGAUGUAGGCAUGAUGAUAUUUUUCCUACUCAGCCUACCUACUCCACUUAUACCAGAUCGACAUCGCGACAUCCACUCAUUCCACCGUCCGGUGAUGCUCCUAAGUCUGGAGGAUUUGGAGCUGCCGCAGGAGAUGACGAUGAUGAUGACGAGGACACUGAGUGACUUCUUCCUCGAGUUCUGUUUUUCUACUUUGCUUUUUAGGAUGAUAUUUUAGUUUAGCUUUGCUUGCUUAUUUUUCUUUUGCAUGUUUUUACUUUUGCUUUAGGUCUGUAACUAUGACUUGACUAUUCUUAUACUUUCUAGUAUGUUUUCUCUCUUUAUAUGCUUUGUCUUUGGCAAUUUUUGACAAAAAGGGGGAGAGCAAUGAUGAACAGGUAUUGAUCUAAGCAAAGGUGAAGAAGGAACAAAGGGCUAAGCAAAGGUGAAGAAGGAACAAAGGGAGAGAAGGAGUGCAAUUUUGAGGAGAAGAAUGAAUAAAGAACAAAGGGAGAGAAGAAGCGUAAUUUGUAAGAAUGUCCAGGUUUCAACUUUCUAUAUUUUUUUUGGAUAAAUUAUUUUGCAGGAAAUCAAGACUUCAAGACUCCUUGUUGCUUCUAAGUCAUAGAGUCUGUUUUAGGAGUUUUUGAUGUACUUUUGCGUUUCAUAUUGUAUUUGGAUCACAUGCAAGGGGUUCAAUGUUUUGGUGAUGACAAUUGAACUUCGUUUUUUCUUUAAGAUGUAAUUUUUUGAGUUGUUGUGAGUUUUGUCACGAAAUUGCCAAAGGGGGAGAUUGUUAAGUAUUGUGUGUUGGCAAGUUUCGUGAAGUGAGUCGGAGUCUUGAAGAAUCGGUGCGUAUCGUCGAAGAUCAAAUAAUUCAAGAUUUCGAAGAAAUUGGAAAAUGACUCAUGAUGUGAAUCAUGAUGCUCAGGUAAAGUGUUAAUUCAUGUUAUGGUGAUUCAUACUUAGUUGUAGGCAUUAGAAUCAUAAUAUCAAUGUUUACUGGAUUAGAAAGUGCAUCGGAACUUUGCAAAAUCCGAAACAGUGGAAAUUUGCAAAGUGUACCGGUACAGCAUCAGAAGUGUACCGGUACAAAAUGUGUACCAGUACAGCCAUCAACAUGUAACCGGUUUCACUGUUUCGUUAGUUUUUUCGUUCCGUCAUCGUGUAGCCGGUGACAGCUGAAAGUGUACUGGUACACAGUGUAAAAUCUUGAAAACUUUCUAAUCGACUCCAAUUGAUUCUAAAAUCUAUAAAUAAGCUAUUGGAGUUCUCUAACAAAUCAAGCAUCACGAAAAUACAUGUUUGAGAAACCCUAGAGGCUCGGAUUUCAUCUAAAACCUAUUUUCUUCAUAAAGCCUCUUUUAGAUCAAAUCGAGAGAUUGUAAUUUGAUAUCAAUAUGUCGAUUUGAUCUUCGCUUCGCCUGGAGAUCGUUUUCCUGGUUUUCAUCGAUACUCUAAGCGAAGGAUCACUAUAAUCAUGAUGCUCUUCGUGACGGCGUCGUGGAUUUGGCGUGAUUGACAGCGGUUCGUGGAUUCGGAUCGUGAGCUUCAUGGAUUCGGAGUAGAGGCGUUUCGUGGAUUCGAAACGUGGCGUUCGUGGAUUCGAACGUGAGGGCGUGGACAACCCGGAGGAUUGCGCGAGAUUCAUAGGAGGUUAAGAGAGAUCGAGUCCGUGGAGUCAGUAAUCACCUUGUAAUCUUUUCUCUUAGUGAAUUAUUUUUUCGCGUGUUAGUCCCAUGGGUUUUUCUCCAAGUUGGAGUUUUUCCACGUAAAUCUAGGUGUGAUUUUUAUUUUUCGUAUUAUUUUUUAUCGCAUUGAGAUUUGUGGUUUUUGGCCGUUACACCUAUUCACCCCCCUCUAGGUGUUGGAUACAAUCUAGAUAGAUCCUUGGGCUCCUUAAAACUUCCAACAUAUAUGCAAGUACUAAAAUACAUGUUAUGCCUCUCAACAUGCAACAAUGCAAAUCAUGCAACUAUACAACUCAACAUGCAAUAAGCUAAGUAGAUCGACUGAUUCUACUUUCAAUCCUGCUAUCCACAGCUCAUCCAAUUGACAUCUAAGGUUUCCUCUAUCUUAGAUUUAUGUCAAUGACCAUUCUACUCAUAAGGUUUCAUCUACCUUUACAAAUCUAUCCACUCGACUCGGUCUUGAGUCAAUCAUUCGCGGAGUACCGCGUAAAACAAGGCUCAAGGUGAAGGACAUCUUACUUGCACCUCAGCCUUAAAUUCACUCAACUAGGAUACCAAAUCUACUCUACUGGGAUUCAACUACAGCUCAUAUGCUUAUCACCCAAUCAAUUGGCUAACCCGAAGGUUUCGCCCCAACUCGUAUCUCAAAUCCCAUAGAUGGGGAGCUACCCUGCUCUUGUCCCACCCGACUCACAUUUCAAAUCCCAUAGGUGAGAAGCUACCCCGCUUUUUUCCAUCCGAGACCGUCUGCUGGAAAACUAUGUCUGCCCCUCAGGUGACCACCUCUGGAGUGCACUGCUUGUGUGGAGCGACCACCUCAAGCUCAAAAUAGAAUAUGUGAGUACGAUUCAAUCCUCGCCAACUGAGGAUACCCUAUCAACUAGGAAUAACAAUAACACGGGAAAUCCACUAAUCCGAAUACUCAUGUUACAAGUGUCUCUACUACACUAGUUUCACAUAGCACAUAUCACAACAACUUGGGAAUUUUUCUAUCCCUAUGUCCAUAUCAGUGUUUUUACUACACUAGUUCCAAAUGCCACUCGAUCUAAUUGAUAUUCUAAUUGUCCACAUCGAGUAUCAUAGUUCAUAUGUCCUUAUUUUCUAAUGUCGAAUUCUCUAAUCAACCUAGAGUUAUCGACCCAAGUUCAAAUAUGUUACUUAACAUAAUCACGAUAUAUCAACAUGCAUAGUUCAUCUAACAUAAUCCAUCAUAUGUCAUUAUGCAUUUCAUCUAGCAUAUAUAAUAUGUCAACAUGCAUAUUCUAUCUCAUGCAUUCAUAUAGCCUCUAUGUCAUGCAUUCACAUAGCAUCUCAUGGUAGGUAACAAUAUCAAGCAUAAUAUGAUUCCUAUAUUCACAUUAUCAUGUACAACUUACCAAAUAUACACACAUGAAUCAAUGGUAACCACGCAUCAUCAUAAUCAUCCAAUGGUAGUCUAACAUAGCAUUCAUCUCAUGCAUUUAUAUAUUUUAUAACUAACCACCAACUAACCACCAUAUAUGCAUCAAUGAUAAUUAACACUUCACUUCGAUAUGGAAGUGAGCUAGUAUCUUCGGUGAGCACAACCCACCUCUUAACGCUUUCUGAUUGCUUGUAGUCACUUGCAAUCGGCCUCCCGCGGCACGCGCUAUCCUGUUCGGUCCGAACUCGCAAUCGUCAACCGAACACUCGCCGAUCCUCAACCUAGAGUCCUCAAGGAUUAUUCUCUAACCUUCAAUUAGAGAACAAUAGGGUUCAAUUAGAUCAAAACCCAUCAUUUGCCCAAACCCCAUUUCUAUCCCUAGCAUGUAAUUAACCUCAAAAUAUUCUAAAAUUAAAUAGAGCGACAUGCUAGAAACACUCUAGAGACCACUAGAACACUAAGCAUUAAGGAUUAAACCAAAUCCUAAAAACCUACCAAUAUUGCGAACGUUGAGUCAAAAGCACGCUUCUCCACCGGGCGCACGAAGACUCGAACCGUCGCUCCCAACGCGUUCCAAAGCUCGCUCUCCGCCAACGCCGCGAAUUUGAGAGAGAGAUCUAGAGAGAUGAGGGAGAUAUCUAGAGAGAGAAAGGGAGGGUUUCUUUCUCCCUCUCCAUUCCAUAUGUGUGUGUGUGUGGCGCUCUGCUGAGGAGGAAGAAGAAGACAUGAAGUCCUCUUUUGUAGUCAACAUCCUCAAAACACUAUUACAAUUAGCAGUUUAGCAGCUUAGAAUCUGUUCCUUUUCACCGGAGCCCUUCUGAAUGUCCGUUUGCGGUCAAAUUUGACAGUCAGGCUUGGUUUAACUUAAUAAGAAUAAAGAAAUUUUAAUCUUUCAGUUCCGACCAUUUUUGGUCACUGAAAACUCUAUGACUAAAAAUCUCUAACAGAUAGCAAUUGGAUUUUAUUUUUCACUUUUCGGGUUUCAGAAUGACAUGAAACUUUAAAUCUAGCCUCACAAAAAUAAUUCUGACAUAUUCUCAGAUUUUCAUAAUUUUCUUACAAUGUGAAUUUUCUGCUAAAAUAUCAACCCCGUUUCUCACAAAAUAUUCUAAAUCUCCUGUUUUUAUUCCGAUUUCAGCAUAAGUCAUUUCCGACUUAUACUUUACUUCUUCAAGUCCAAUAAAAAUAGUAUCUUACACUAUUUUUAUUUACACUUAAUUUGUAUUAAAAUCUGGUACAUUACAUAUAUAAACAUUUAUACAUUCAUACACCAUUCAAAACAGAUUCACAUUCAGAGUUGAAUCAUAAAUUCACAACUAUUAGUUUAAAAUGUUUCCUAACCGAAAACUUAUUUUGAAAUAUUAAGUCAUGAAAAUCAUGAGAAAACUCUUUUAAAAACUGUUUUUCAGACGAAAACCCUUUUUCUUUAAAACACGCUACCAUGAGAGGUAGAAAACCAUUUUCAUCUCAUGAAAAUCAUUAAAUCUUUAUCUCAUUCACAAAAUCUCAUUUAUCCAAUUAAAUGAAAGCCAACAGAACCAUAAAGUUUAAGUUAUUUAUUUUGAAUAAGUAAGGAUAGAAACUAGACCGAAUAUCACCGGGCCGGAAACUCUAUCGACCACUACGAACGUGUCUCACAUCUCGUCUUAUCCCUCACCGCCCGCAAUACCUGAAAAAUGGUGAGGGGUGAGAACAUGUAAACAUGUCUCCUCCUCCCAAUGGGUACCGCAAGCCGACGAAGGCGAGGAGUACUCAUCGGCAGAAAGAGAUCAACAAAGUCAUAAGUAAAUAUCACAAAUACAGUAGCUAUAAUACCGGAAGGAAAGGAAACAGUAAUAGAACAUGUAACUGCCGCUACUAUAAAAUAGAACAAAAUGCAUACAUGGAUAUCAGAACUACAGUAGUAAUGAUGCAUGGGUGACCAACAGUACAAGGAAAAUAUGACUAGCUACUACUGUAAUACAGAACGAAGUGCAAGUAUGUAUUAACUGGACAUACGAGAAGUCCAAGAUAUACCCAAUCUUUGUGGCCUGUCAUGAAGACUUGGCCUAAGCUCUCCCAUAGGUCUCAAGGACCGCAAAUCAAGUACCACACCGGAGGGACACAACAACCCGCAUUCAGAGUCGUUAACUCUGUCUAAGUACGACGUAUAUCAAGACUGGGGGUGAGGACUCAGGGUGGCGAACCCUGUCUAUGACACCUCACCUCCCACUGGGCUGGCAACUGAAGUACUCUAGGUUAGUAACCCAGUUUAAGACUCCUUCAAUGUCGUACAAGGUAUAGUCAUGUAUAUGCUCAAUAGCCAAUUGUCGGCAACUAGCCGACAAUCACCGACCCUCGGGGCACCCCGACCAAUAGGUCAUCGAACCGUAAGGAAACACAAGUACCGACCACUCAGGUUAACUAGGAUAGAACAACUCCACAUCCUCCCAAAGGUAUGCAAGUACUGGUCACUCAAAGUCAACUACCAUGUAUGCGCAAGAACCGACCAAUAAGUUACAAGAAUGUCACAUCAUGUAUCAAUAUAAUCCAGAACUAACCGUCAGCCACUAGCCAAUAAUCCUACCUUUCAGGGUACACCGACCUCAUAGGUCACCAAAUGAUAAGAGUCACAAAACCAACUAACUAGGUCACAUAAAUGCCAAAUGAUGGAUCUGUAUAAACUAUAAUCAUCCGUCGACAAUUAGUCGACAAUCCCACCUCUCGUAGUAUACCGACCUCAAAGUUCAUCAAACGACAGGAGUCAUAGAACCGACCGACUAGGUCACAACAGUGUCACGAAUACGGAAUACAACAACCGACCAACUAGGUCACCGAUCUCACAUGUAAUCACGAAACUGCUCUACUCUAAACAUGGUACAGGAUAUGCAAACAGCUAAGUAGAGCAACAAGGAAACAUAGUAUAGGUGCUAGGCUCAACAUAUAAUAUAUGCAUGUAGAGUAAUAACAGGAGAACAAGGGUAAGAAGAUAUCACCGAGCGUGCACCACUGUACAAACUUCGGAUCGAAGUACCCACCUGUACGAAUACGGUACGGAUCUUCCGACUGCGGAGGAAAUAACAACCGAACCUACGAAGGGUCCACCGGGUUAGAAUCCAACCCACGAACACAAAACACUAACCCACAAUCCCCACAAACAAACCUACGAGAAUCGGUUUUCCAAAAUAGAUUGCGGAACACGUCGGAAGUCCCAAAAAUCGCACAGGGAGUCCACCGGGACCCAUGAACUGUCCCGGAACUCACCGACUCAUGCUCCGAGUCACCCGCUGCCACUAAACACCAUUAUUCAUGGGACUUGGCAGCAAACACACUGUCUCACAUCGAAAUGAUUAUCGUCGGAUAAUCGUUCAGAUCCGAAUUCCCGAAAGUGUCUAAUUCGACACCGGAACCCACCGUCGCUCACCCGUCAUUUCCGAACCCUCGAAACGACGCGGGUGACCAACCAACAAGGCUCAGCGACAACAAAAAUCUACCGUGAGGCACCGUCGGAAGAAUUCCAAACCGAAAACGCGUUCCGUCGGCGGAUUUAGCCGCAAAACGCACCAAAAAUCAACAUUUGAUUUCCAGAAAGGCUUGGGGCCUUGGACAACUAGUCCAGAGGUCACCCACUACCCACACACGCUGCCAACGGCGACCCCAACAAGCACAAUUGCGUAAAAACUCUCCCAAUAACAUAAAAUCACAUUAUUUCAUGUGAUUUUCGGGGUUUUAUGGCCCGACAACGUAAACCGAAGGUCAUUCAGCCAAGCCGAGACACCCGUUGAUAGGUCUCGGCAUGCUGGAGCACUGCCGGCCGCUGUGGUGAGCGCACGAGCUACACGAACUACAGCGAAACAGCGCGCACAGCGCCUAAAUCGCAUCUACUACGCAAACCAGGGCAUCUCUGACCCUAACGGAGGUGAGCACGAUGUUCAGCACGAAGUAGGGAUCAUCGUGCUCACUUCUAAACUUAUCGGGGUGCCCUCUGAUCGCCGGAAAGGCGACCAGAACCCUAAGACAGUGUGCAAAUAGCAUAAUUAGGGCUUACCUUACAGUAGGAGCACGGGCAGGUCGUUGACGGCCAGGCGGCGGGCGCGCCGGCAGGGGACAGGUGCGGCCGGUUAAUGGGGUCUGGGGCAGGUGCUUGUCGACGGCGGGCAGCAGCCGUUGGCGCGGCGGCAGAGAUCAGACCCGGACAACUAAGCUCGGCCCAAGGGAACAACGGCGGCCAGGCGGCGGUCGGAGGAGCCUUGCGGCGAUGGCGGCCGGUCGCCGGGGGCCAAGAGAGGGCGGUUCGGCCGGCGGUGGGCGACGACAGCGCACAGAGGCCAAAUAGGUCUCAGCUCAGCCCGCAUAGGUACUGGGCGGCCGCAGGGAGCAGUGCCAGCGGCCAGAGGCCAUAGGGACGACGACGGCGACGUGCGGAGGGUUGCCGGAAGCCCAAGGAGGGCGGUGCGGCCAAUCAGAGGCAUGGGUGAUGCGCGGGGACUAGGGUGAUCCCAGCUCGGCCUGCUUUAGAUCUGGGCGGCCGCAGCUAAACCUGGCGGCUCCGUCGGCGCACGGGGACGGCAGGGGCCGGCGGGGAUGGUGCCGGAGGUCCAACCUCGGCCGGGGAAGAGGGGCCCGAGGUUGUGGAUGCUUUCCUGCGGUCGACGGCCGAGAGUGUGGUGGUUAGGUGGAGGGAAGAGGUUGAGAGGGAGGUGUUGCUGGCUUUCCGGCAGCCGUGGGUGCUUGUCGGCGGCCGGGAUGUGCGCACGAGCCAGGCAGGGAUGGGCUGAGACAGCUAAGGCUUAGCUCAGCUGAAGAGGAGGUCCAGGAGCUAGGUUUCUUUAUGAAACCCUAGUUGCACUAUUUAUAUAUAUUAUGUACAAUUGCAAAAAGAUCCCCCAUAUCCAAUUAUUUUCAGCUCAGUCCUCACCAGUAUGUGCAUUUUGCACGCAAAGCCCCUCGACGUUCAAAAUCACGCAAAACGGCACAUAAAAUAUUAGGUUUUUCGCCAUUUUCUCAUUUUGCCAAUUUCGACCCCUCAGCGAAUAUUUCGCGAUUCCCGAAGAUCCGUCCGUCGGAUUUCUAAACAGAUCACACCAGCACGUUCAACACGACUGGAGCAUCGAAUCUACAAUUUAGUUUCGUCCGAUUCGGUCGUCGAUUUGCGACAAAACCAACCUUCUCCAAUCUCCAAAAACCACACCUAUACAUAGAAAUCCAAUAAAACUCUUUUUCUCGAAAACCGUGCAUCAAAACCCAAAUCCGUCAGUGCCAUUGGUUCCAAGAUAGUCGAACUAUUGAAAACAAGCUAUUAGAGUGCUACAAAUGGAGUCCAAUACGCAUCAGAAGCCAUCUUCUCUCAUCUGGCUUCUCCGAAAAAUCGGAGUACUAUUCACUUUAAGUGAAAAAUAAAAGUCGCGUAACUUCUCCAUUCUAACUCAUUUUCUGCUGAAACAUGACGAGUGCUUAUGUAAUUAAAUAACACACAAAAUUAUCGUCAACAAAGAGUUUAGCUAUCUUGCAAAAUCUCAGUCCUUACAUUCGGAUAGUUGAUAUACUGUACUAGUACUCUAAAAUGAAAUGGGCAGAAAAAAAAAUUUCUCUACCCAUGUAACUUCGAGUCUGGUCCGAAUCUAAAUAUUUAAGUUACUAAUAUAUCCACGAGGUCUAUUUGACCAUGUCUCGUAGUAACUACCUGUAUAAUACCAGCCUAAGAUUGGGUACAGGUCGGGUAUGAGUCUGGUCUAGAUCGGGUACGAGUACCAGUAUGCACAUAUUUUUUAUAGACUAUUAAACAGUUUAUGACAAAUCAUAAAUCUUUUGUUAAAGUUUAUAAGAAAUUUAAAUCAUACCUUCUACUAUGAUUUCGAUUUCUACACUCGGAUUGUAGAUGGCGAUUCUUACUCAUAUUUUUCCUUGUUCACGAUCUGCAAAAAAAGGAGACAUUUCAAGUCUAAUUCCCUUAUCCCAGGAGAUGGAGCCGUUACAAGAAUUAGGAUUACAGUUAGACCAGGACUCUUGUUGUCAUGUCCCGUGACCGCCAAUUUGGUCGGUUCGGGCCCGUACACAGAUGCCGAACAAACAGAACCCCUUCUGUUCGCCCAAGACUCUACAACAAUCAAACAUGUUUAAAGAAAUGCCUAGGAAAAAUUCCAAUAUAUAUGGCUUACACGAGGGUAAGCAACACAAGCAAGUGAAAGUAAACUAACUAUUACAUCCAUACAUUGUAACUUGAUUAUUUUAAAUCAAAUACAAAGGUUACCAUUUUGUUUACAUACAUUCUUCCAACAUAUACAUUUACCAUCUCUCAAAUAAAUAGUUUUAUACAAUACACUUUUCUUUCAUCAACUACAAGAUGAAAUGUACAAGGUAUAGCUAUACUCAAUGGAUGUUCGCUAUCUAUUGAGAGCUGUUCAGGUCACGACCCUCUACCACCCCGCAUGCGUUAGAACCUGCAUAGUUAGUGGAGUGAGAACUACUAAAAGUUUUCAGUGGGUUCGGCUGCUGACCUCGCCGACUCACCCACUAGGUUUACUCAGGCAUAUGUAGACAAAAAAGAACAGAUAGUAACCAAAUUAUAACUACUACAAUACCUGUACAAAGCUGAAAAGAACAAUGUAUAACUCAUGAAGUUUAUGCAUGCAUGCCAUGAUUACCAUUACCCAAUUACCUUGGUUAACUAUUUGGUUAACUAUAACUCACCGACCAAAUCCCUUUUGUCGGGGAGGAUUCCGCUACAACCCGACGGGACCGUCUACUGGGGAGAAUUCCACUACCAACCCAGUUGAUGACAACUCCGGAGCUCACCGCCCAAGGUGGAGCAACCUACUUCGAGCAUUCAGACUAAUUGUGAGUACGAUCCAAUCCUCACUUAGAGGAUACAAUGCCACACUUUAACUAGCUCUUUAUGCUAUAUUUAACAUUUCCAAUUCUAGAUGCUAACCAGUUCAUCUAGUUAUAAGGCCACGACUACAACAAGUUCAUUUUUCUUAUUUAGCCUUCACAAUACUCAGUGUUAUUUAUUCACACUAGUCAUCAUGUCACCUUGUUUUCUAUUGUCAUGGUCCAACACGAGUUCAUACAUCUAUGGGGUUCUAUAUUCAUGGUCCUUAUCAUUCCACAUGUUUUCUACAUUGGAAGUAUACCAAUUUGUUCACAUUUAGCCACAAGCUAACCUCAACCCUAUAAUGCAUGAAUGUUAACCAUGGGGGUCAGGUUUUUUUUUUAAAAAAAAAAAAUUGGGCACUUCCACAUUGGAUCUUAAAUCCAAAAGGACCCCGGGGGUGACAGAUUAAACAGGUAUCAAAGACAGGUUACAACCACGGCACCAUUCAUAGAUUGUUUUGAAAAAUAAAUAAACUGAAUCAUUGGUUAGGUUGACCCAUAGGAAGACUUACGGUACAUAGGCACGUCAUUGAGGGAUUUGGGGUUGAGUCCCGGUGUGCAUGUCGAGAUUGGUAAACUCGAAGUGCACGGUUGUUUUCGUAUGUGCUACGGUUUUCGCACAAGCUGGUGUCUCAAUCGGGAGGAGUGGCGGUGUACAUAUACGAACAUUGAGUGGCGGGGUGACGUUCCCCAAGUGUAGCCACUCCUGUCGGGUGGGGCCUUGAAGGGCCAAGUGAUGUUUUUGGGCCUAGGCAAUUGUUUUGGUUGCCGGUGCUCAGGCCACUUUCCCUACUUAGGGCACGAGAGCUGUUGCGAGCGUCUCCACGGAGACGACACUAUGAUCAGCUACGUUCGCUACUUCUGUGGGGCUACUAGGGUGUAGCCCAAGGUUUUGAUAGCGGCCGUUUAGUCGACUGCAAUGUUUGUUUUGCUUUCUCAGAUUUUUGGGUAGGGUUGUGAUGCCUACCCCUCCUCUUGAUUGCUGAUGGAAUCGGCGGUGUGAGUCUUUUGACCUUUAACUAAUUCUUUCGUCAAUCUGACGUGUUCUAGAACCGGGUAGACACAGUUUUGUUGUCGGGUUCAAUUGAUGCAUACAACCCAAAUGGGUGGAUUAUGGGAUAGUCAGCGGUUUUUAGUAGGAUUCAUCUUAACUCGAGUUACUCUAGAGUAUUGUUGAAGUUCUCGAAGCUUUGGUUAUAGCUCGGUUGUGGUGCAAAAAUCGGUUAGAGAAACCGUUUCCUAAAGCCUCAGUUUGUGCGAUUCGUGGCUUAGUGUCACUAGCAGCUUUUGGAUGUUGAAAGUUAUGGGACUCCCUGUGAGUCGGUUCAUGGUCGAUCUGAUUUUGAAUGUCGACCUGCAAAGUCGACGUUUCGACAGUUUUGGUUGUGAACUUUUGGUUCAGUAAAGAGGUAUAGGUAGCUUGAUAUUUCGAUGUGACGUGCUUCCAACUUGUUGUUGGUAGUGAAUUUUUGGGUAUUUCGCUAUUCUUUUAAUAAGUACAUUGGCUGCAAACAAUAUACUGUCGAAAGUUAGGACAAAAUGCCCUUUCCCUGUUUGGGACUUUUGGAUUGGGUCGGCGUUUUCUCUUGUAAGACAAUCUCUAGAUAUGGUCUUGUGAGAAAACUUGAGUAUUGGUCAUCUCUGACCAUAUUGUGCGCCUUGGGUUAAUCCUUGGCAGGUUUUGUGCAGCUGAUUUAUCGUCACUGCUUACAGUUUUGACCCAAGUUCGAGUCUCGGUGCUCGUUAGUUCAAUAGUUGUGCCUUCCGCAGCUAAACGGUCUGUUGGUUAGUAGUCUGGGCCUUUUUGCCGGGCAGUUCGGUAUCACAGUUGUUGAGUGACUUGAGCCUGGUUGUUGGCUUUGAUCGUCGCGAUAUGUGAUAACGUAUAAGGUUUGUGACUCGGCUUAUAGUGCAAACCUCGGAAUGGUAUGCUUGUCCGGCUAUUUUGUGACAGGUGCGCCUGGGUCUCAAUGAGACAGGUGUUUGGUCAUGCUCGGAACAUCGACCGCUAGGGUCAGCGACAGGGUCUCGUGGAGACAGGUGUUGGGCAUCACCAAUGGUUAUCAUCGCAUAUUGCGAUUGGCAACCCUGUGCACCAAGGGAUGGACUUGCAAGGAGCUUAUGGUGGUCUGAUGGUACCGGAUUAAGUUAUUGAGGAGACAAAAUUGUCGAGCUCAGUUGGCAAUGUCAGCCUUGAACCUUUUGGCCAGGCAGAAGGUGAGGUCCUAGACAUAGGACUGUCGUAAUGCCAUAGGUGGAACUGUUUGGGAUCGGAUAACCCUAGUCGCGAAACUGUUUUUGUCCGCAGGUUAUGGGAUGGUGUUGAUCCCGGUGGAUUUUGAUCCAUAAAUAUUAGCUGGUAUAUUUCCCUUGUUUUGUCCGAGUGGAACCGCAUCAAGGAAAUGUGACUAACCAGUACUCAAAGAUGAUACCAUAGUGGCGGAAUAAUAUCCGAAUUCAAUUAUGGUAGGUACGUGGUCAAGUUUCGAGGACGAAACUUUCUUUAAGGGGGGAGAUAAUGUGAGGACUGAAAUUUUGACUGUGUAACUAAACUCCUUGUUGACGAUGUUUUUGUGUGUAAUUUAAUUACAUAAGCACUCGUCAAGUUUUAGGAGAAAACGAGUUAGGAUGGAGAAGAUACGCUAGCUUUACUGAUCACUUAAGUGAAUAGUAACUCUAAUUUUUCGGAGAGGCCAAUCAGUGGAGAUGGCUUCUGGUGCGUAUUGGACUCCGUUCAUAAUGAUCCAAUAGCGCGUUUUCGACGAAUCGACUAUCCUGGACCCAAUGGCACUAACGGAUUUGGGUUUUGAUGCUCGGUUUUCGAGAAAAAGAGUCUUAUUGGAUUUAUAUAUAUAGGUGUGGUUUUUGGAGAUUGGAGAGGGUUGGUUUUGUUGCAAAUCAGUGACCGAAUCGGACGAAACGAAAUGGUAGAUUCGAUGCCCCAGUCGUGUUGAACGCGCUGGCAUGACCCGAUCGAAAAUCAGACUAACAGAUCUUUGGGAAUCUUGAAAAGUUCGCUGAGGGGUCGAAGUUGGCAAAACGGAAAUUACGCGUGAAACCAAAUAUUUUAUGCGCCGUUUUGCGUGAAUUCGAAUGUCGAGAGGCUUGUGUGCAUAAUACAUGUACUGACAGGGACUGAGUUGAAAAUAAUUAUUUAUGGGGGGACCUUUUUUCAAUUGUACACAAUAUAUAUAUAGUUGCAACUAGGGUUUUCAUGAAGAAACCCUAGCUCCUGGACUCUACCUCAGCUGAGCUAAGCCCUAGCCGUCGCCGCCCAUGCUUGCUGCGGCCAACCCGAUUCUUGUUGGGCCGAGCUCGAGCCGAGCCUAGCUUGGUUUGUGGCCGCGAGUUCUUGUCACUUGUGAUCGGCCGCGCCGUCCCCCGACGACCUCCGGCGACCCUCCACUCGCCGCCUCGUCGUCCCCGUGGUGGCCAGCCGCCGGCAUUGCUCCCUGUGACUGCCCAGCUCCCGUGCGGGCCGAACCGAGGCUUUUCCAGCUUCCGCGCGUCGCCGCCGCCUACCGCCGGCCGCGCCACACUCCCUCGGCCUCCGGCGACUUGUCGCCGCCGUCCCGAUGCUUCCCCGGCCGCCGCCUAGCCGCCGUCAACCCGUGAGCCCAGGCCAAACCGUGCAGGCUUGAUCUCCUCCGCCGCGCCAUCGACUGCCUCCUGUCGCCGGCCAGCGCGAGCUCAAGUCCCCACUGACCGGCCGCACCCGUCUCCGGCCAGCCCGCACGCCGUUCGUCCACUGUCAGCCACCCUUGGACUCCAACGUGCUCCAAUAAGGAAAUUAUAGUUUCUGCACACUGUUUUGGGGUUCCGGUCGCCUUUCCGGUGAUCCGAAGACACCCCGAUAAUUUUCAAAGUGAGCAUGAUGAUCCUGUUUCGUGCUGAACAUCGUGCACACCUCCAUUGGGGUCAGCGAUGCCUCGGUUCGCGUGAUAGACGCGAUUUAAUCGCUGUGCGCGCUAUUUCGCUGAGGUUCGCGUCGCUUGCGCGCUGGCCACAGUGGCCGGCCGUGGUCCAAAGUGUGAGUACGGCCUCCGGCACAUCGAGACUUGUCAGCAGGUGUCUAGGAUUGGCUGGAAGAUCCUCGGUUUGCGCUGUCGGGCCAUAAAAGCCGAAAACCAUAUAAAAUAAUGUGAUUUUAUGUAAUCGGGAGGGUUUCUAUGCAAUUGUACACUUUGUGGUUGCUACUGGCAGCGUGUGCGGACAAUGGGUGACCUCUGGACUGAUUGUCCAAGGCCCCAGGCCCUUGAGGAGAUCCGAAAUUGAUUUUCGGUGCGUUCGUCGGCAAAAUCCGCCGACGGAACGCGAUUUCGGUUUAGAAUUCUUCCGACGAUGCCUCACAAUAAUUUGUGUCAUCACUGAGCCUUGUUGGCUGGUCACCUGUGAUGUUUCGAGGGUUCGAAAAUGACGGGUUAGCGACGGUGGGUUCCGGUGUCGAAUUGGACACUUCCGGGAACCCGAAUCAGAACGAUUAUCCGAUGAUAAUCGUUUCGAAGUGAGAUAGGGUAUUUGCUGCUAGGUCACACGAAUAUAUGUGUUUUGUGGCAACGGGUGACUCGUGGCACAAGUCGGUGAGUUCUGGGACAGUUCGUGGGUCCCGGCAGAGUCCCGGUGUUUAAUUAUGGGGUUGUGUGUUUAGUGUUUCUUAUUUGUGGGUUAGAUACUAACCCGGUGGACCCUCCGUAGGUCCGGUUGACGAUCUUCCACAGUCGGGAGAUAGGCACGCUAUUCUUACAGGUGGGUACUUCGAUCCGAAGUCAGUAAAAUGGUGCACGCUUGGUGACGUUCUCUCCACCCUAUCUUUGUUAUCGUGCAUAUCAUGUUAUGAGCCUAGCACCUUUUGACUUCUUACUUAUUGCUCUACUUGGUUAUUGUUCGUAUUCAUCAUCAUUAUUUAGAAGUAGAGUGGACUAUCUGUGGUGACCUAUUCGGUCGGUUAUGUGACUCUUCUCAUUUGAUGACCUAAUGAGGUCGGUAUACCCUAAGGGGUAAGAUUGUCGACUAGUUGCCGACGGCUGAUUAUAGAUUACACUGAUCCAUGAUUUGACAUUUAUGUGACCUAGUCGGUCGGUUUCGUGACUCCUAUCGUUUGAUGACCUAUGGGGUCGGUGUACCCUGAGGGGUAGGAUUAUCGGCUAGUGGUUGACGACUAGUUCUUAAUUAUACUGAUGCAUGACGUGAUAUUCUUGCGAUCUAUUGGUCGAUUCUUGUGCAUGUAUGUUAGUUGACAUUGAGUGGUCAGUACAUGCACACCUUCGGAAGGAUAUAUGUUGAGUUGUUCCAUCCUAGUUGACCUGAGUGGUCGGUAUUUGUGGUUCUUACAGUUUGAUAACCUAUUGGUCGGUGUGCCCCGAGGGGCGGUGAUUGUCGGCUAGUUGCUGAUGAUUGGCUAUUGAGCAUAUACAUGUGACUAUACCUUGUACGGCACUGAAGGAGCUUAUACAUGGUUACUAACCCGGGGUACUUCAGUUGCUAGCCCAGUGGGAGGUGAUGUUUCAUAAACAGGGUUUGCCACCCUAAGUUCUCACCCCCAGACUUGAUAUACGCCAUGCUUAGACAGAGUUAGUGAUUCUGGGUGCGGGUUGUUGUGUCCCUCCGGAGUGGUACUUGAUUUGCAGUCCUUGUGACCUAUGGGCGAGCUUAGGCCAAGUCUUCAUGACAGGCCACAGGGAUUUUGUAUAUUUUUGUAACGCCCCGGGACCGGCGAAGGCCCUCCCGGUAGCGCACCCAGACCCGCCAUAUGUCUACACAUAUAAGGCGUCUACAAUACAAGCGGAAGUAAAGCAAGAGAUAGAAUAAAUAGAAUGAACAGCAACUAAUGAUAUCAGAGCGAGUAAAGUUCUAUCAUCUAAACCAGAGUAAAAGAAACAUAACUAAACAAUAAAAGUAGCCAUAAAGUAGUACAAUACUAUCUCCUCAAAAGAAAAACAAAGAUCCAAAAGAAGGGUGGUCUCUAUACAUAAANGUCUCAAAUAUACUUAAGUUUAAAUGCAUGAAUCAAAGCUCAUUUACACUAUAGAAGUAUGAAGCCAAGUCUCAUAUAGAAUGCUAGAUGCAAUCAUAGAUCUCUCAAGCAACUCUCUACUAUAUAGGAGUCCAAAAUUGCACUAUAAGUAAUAUAGGCAUUUUAAGCAUUCUAAAAUUCACAAUAAAUACAUAUAACAAGAAUAUGCAUGCUUUUUCAAUUAAUGGUACUUAAUUCAUCGCAAAUGAGAAUUUCUCAUUGUGUGGCUAGGUCAAACCCACCGAACCGUCGCGUAGUGCCUCGUUUCGCCGAACGAAGUUGUCCCCGAGUCUCAAAAUACCCUAAAAGUAUUGAGCGAAAAGAUAUACGGGCAUUACGAUCAUCUAUAAGAUCAAAUUUUAACAAACUUAGCAAAAGAGCUAAAACUCACCUAAUGUGUAGGAAAUCUCUCUCAAGCUCCAAAAGAGAGCUAAAUCCCUUCCAAACCAAGUCCAAGGAAGGUUCUAAUCCAAACAAUCUAGCCUCAAAAGCCCUAAAUCAAAAAGGCCCAAAAAUCAACCCUAACAUCCAUUCUAGGAUUCCAUAUGGUAAAACCUACCAAAUCAAUGAUCAAAGGGUAGAAUCCAAGUACUAACCUCCCAAGAUGCCUCCAAACAAGCUCCAAAUCUUCUAGGGUUGAAGAUUGGUCCACCACCAAGCUCUACAAGCAAGCUCUAAGCCUUGCAAGGGUGGAAAGGAGAGAAAGGGGUUGAGCUCCAAGCUCCCUCAAGCAAGCUCCUCUUCUUCUUCUCCUCCUUCUUCUUAUUCUCUCUCUCUCUCUAGAAGGUGAAGGGUGAGGGUGAGAAAUGAGGAGGGAAGAGAGGGAAAUGGCUAAUAAGCCCAUCUAGUGUAACAAAAUCUGGAGAGGCCCCUCAAAAACUCAAAAUUGCAACAGCCCGGUCUGGGCAGUUUUCGUCCAGAGGGACCGGUCUCUCCCCAGCAGGGACCGGUCUCUCAUUGCGAACCCGAAAAACCAACGUUCGGGAACCGGUCUCUCCCUGCGCGGGACCGGUCUCUCACUGCGAAGAUGAGCUCGGGGACCGGUCUCACCUGCCAGGGACCGGUUGCCUCAGGGCUGCCACAACACUGCUCACUGGGGAACCGGUCUCUCCUUCCAGGGACCGGUCCACGAGAGUAAAAACUCUCAGGACUUGUCCAGAAUUCCAGUUUUCGAACUUUUUAGGUCGAAAAGCAUUCUACAACCCUCCACCAAAUGUGGAAAAGCUCGAAAUACAUCCAAGCACUAGAACCUCGCAAUUGGCAGAGGUCCAGUGUGUUACAAUUUUGGACUUGUCGUAUGUCCAGUUGAUGCAUACUUACACUCUGUUCUGUAUUACAGUAGCGGCUAGUUAUAUUCCUCUAUACUGUUGUUUACCCCUGCAUUAUUACUACUGUAGUUAUGAUAUUCAUGUAUGCAUUCGGUUCUUCUUUACAGUAGUGGUAGUUAUAUAUUUUGUUAUUGUUCUACUUCCUUUUAGUUUAUUGCUACUGUAUUUGGUAUAUCUGCUCAUGACCUUGUUUAUCUCUUCCUAUACCAGUGAAUACUCCUCGCCUUCGUCGGCUUGCGGUACCCACUGGAAGGGGGAGACAUGUUUAUAUGUUCUCACCCCCCACCAUUUUUCAGGUAUUGCGGGCUGUGAGGGUUGAGACGAGACGUGAGACACGUUCGUAGCGGUCGAUAGAGUUUCCGGCCCGGUGACAUUCGGUCUAGUUUCUAUCCUUGCUUAUUCAAAAUAACUAACUUAAACUUUAUGGUUCAGUUGGCUUUCAUUUACUUGAAUAAAUAUGACUUUGGUGAAUAAAUUAAAAAACUUAGGGUUUUUUUUUAGACGAAAACGGUUUUCUACCCCUCAUGAUAGUGAGUUUUAAAAGAAAAAAGUUUUCGUGUGGGAAACAAUUUUUAAAAGGUUUUCUCUUGGUUUUCAUGACUUAGUAUUUCAAAACGAGUUUCCGGAUGGGAAAUAUUUUAAACUAAUAGUUGUGAAUUUAUGUAUAAACUCUGAAUGUGAAUGGUGUAUGAAUGUAUGUAUAUUCAUAAGUGGGAGUUUCCGGGUGGAAAAUAUUUUAAACUAAUAGUUGUGAAUUUAUGGAUAAACUCUAAAUGUGAAUGGUGUAUGAAUGUAUGUAUAUUCAUAAGUGGUGGUUGUAUCUUGUUUGAUGUAUCUUGUACUUGUGUGACGCUAUACAAAUACAUAGGAGACUAUGUCCGUGUGAACAGUGAACUCCCUGUAUUUGUGGCGAAUCUAGCAUACCCUUCGGGUCAAGUUUUUCAAAAAAAAUAUAUAAUAAUAAUUUUGGGCACUUCCGCAUUGAAUCUUAAAUCCAAAGGGACCCCGGGGCGUGACAAAAGUAGUUGGUGCUUCCAAUUUUUUAGCUCUUAGAUCAACCCCAUUGAUUAUUUCUAACUAUUGGAUUAAUAUUAUUAACCAAUGGGGACCACUCAACCCUAGGGGGACCACUCAACCCUAAGCGGACUGCUAUCAUCCCAACCGUAGAAUUUUUGAACUGAGGGCUAAACAAUCGGAAGUAUUAACUACUUUAUGCUUCCGAUAGCAAUAUAGCAUAGUAGCUCUACAAUAUAUAUAUAUAUAGAGAGAGAGAGAGAGAGAGAGAGAGAGAGAGAGAGAGAGUCCAGCUGCUAUGCUAUCGAUAGCACCAAACACUUAGUGCUAUCAAGUUUUCUGCUGUUAGAUUAACCCCUUUAAUUAUUUUUACCCGUUAGAUUAUACUAUUCAACCAACCACCAACUCAACCCUAGUGUCUCGCUCCGGAUUACACGUUUUCCUGGGCACGCCGACAGAUCCGCCGUAUACAAAGGAGUUUUUCCUAUAUACGAAGCGACAGUUGUACCUGUAACAAGUUCAAGCUACAACUAGUAGUAUAGAGCUACUAAACUGAACUGAAUAUAAGUAAACAUCAGGUUCACUAUACAUACAAAGUCUCCUAAAUACAACAACCCUCCCUCCAGCGAGUAACUAGCAUAAGUAUGUACAUGAACCAAAAAUCAAAACUAUCUAUAGCUGGUACUCCUCUAGUACUACAACCAGGGAAGGAAUCUAGCUCGCGACUCCCUUUCCUAAAUCAGAAUCGGCGACAACAGUAGCCGCAGAAGAAGGCUAUGCAAAAUAACAACCGGGUGUGAGAACUACUACAAAAAGUAGUCCUCAGUGGGUACCACUACCAACCUCAACAGCUUACCCACUAAGUUUAUAGAAAGUAUGCAGAAAGAUAGUAAAGGAAGCUGAUACAACUCUACAGCUAUAUGCCACUAUACUAUCGCUAACCAACACUAGUUAUCUGUAGAUGUAAGCAAAAUGCAAUCUUUUACCCAAUCUCACUGGGGACUGUGAACACACCCGUCCUGCCUAUCGAAAUUAAACCAACCACCACCACGCUGGGUAGUUGGUGGAGAGCAAGUCCAACCAGGACACUACGACAUCAACACAAAAGCACUAAGCCUGACUCCGGAGUGGCACUCGUGGGCGCUAUCUAACCGAGUAUGCAAGCGUGUCUCUGCCGAGCUCAAUCAGGUUCUCAUAGACUAUAAUCAAAGUAAAUGGGUCUAACUGAUCUAACAACCAAAGCUCACGUGCCCUUGGCACAAUCUAAUGCAAAGUACAGAAAUCUGGGUCCACUGUCAACCGCGACGGCACCCGACAGUCCGAAACAGUCUACACACUACUAUAAAAUAAGCUCGGCAUCCCAGCACGAGCGUAAACUCAUCCUACACUAAUUUAGGUAUCCACAGCAUACAAACUGCGACGAUACAAACAAACCACAGCUCCCAAAGCUAAAUCUGGCAGUUUUCAGAAAAUGACAGUGUAGGGUUUAAUAGCUUUCUCCUAAGUCAAUUACAAGUCCAACAUGUAUAAUCAUCUAAAUCACUAAUUAUGCUCCAAAUUCAAAUUUCAAAGAACAUGCAAAUCAACGAAUUUGAGCUAUUAAACAUGAUAUACGAAGCCAAAAAUACAUGCUGUCAACUCCGGCUUAAAAGGAAAACCGACGAUUUCGGUAAACUUCAAUUCACCUCGAAAAGCUCGUCCAAUUACGGCGAGAAGUUGAAAAGACAGUAAAUCACGCGCUCGCUCAGCCUCUCACGACGCAACCGCGACGGACGCACACUCGAAUGGCCCUCCGGAUCGAGUCGACAACCUCCCGAGCUCAAGCCGUGACCUCAAUCACGUACGAGUCUACCAGUUAGAGAGAGAGGGGAAAAUGAGAGGAAGAAUAUGCCACAACCCUCUCUUUGUGAAUAUAACAAGGCUGGGAAACAUGGGGUUGAACGACACAUUGAUGGACCAAAAUGCUCCUUACCAACUUCAAAAUCUAGCUAGAGUACCGGUACCAGAUUUGGUUACCGAUACUCGGCCUCUCAACCCGCACACUCGCACACCGGGUACCGGUACCAGCCCGAUACUGUAUCGGUACUCAGCACCAAAUUGGCGCAACCCGAGAGCAGUCUGUCUGAAAAUACACCGGGGUAUCAGUACUCCCCUGCAUAGUACCGGUACUCAAUACUGAAAACCUGCACUUUGCAAAUUUCAAUGUCAAAACUCUACUCUCGCGUCGCACUGAGUCCGUUUUGCUUCUAUUUCGCGCCAAAACGACUCCGACUUGUCCCGAUACUCUCCAGAUAUGUCGCCAAGCCUCAGAUGCUGAGAUCCACGAACAACCCAAAACCAGAGAUACUACACCUAGGGGCCGACAUCAUCAUAACCGCACAUUUCUAAUCCAAGGACUAAAAAACUAAUAGCACCAAUAACUUGAUGCUAUUAAUAGUAUCCCAGCCUAGUUAUAUAUAUAUAUAUAUAUAUAUAUAUAUAUAUAUAUAUAAAACUUAAAAAGCAUAAAUGAUGAUACAUGCCUUUAUUUUUUGCUAGGACCAAGAAAGUUAUUCCCGCCAUUCCAACAAGUGAGAUUUUUCUUUUUACCAGAAUAUUUUAUGUGAAUUGAGUCUUGCUAUACUGCCAAACUAUUCCAUGCUUUUGAAAGGGUGGAAUAGUGCUAUUUCAAACUUUAAUUCCAUACUUUAUUAAAAUUAUAGAUUAAAUUAAAGUAAAUUAUGAGAUAUGAUAUAAUACAUAUUAUAAUAAAUUAUUUUUAUUAAUUGUACUAAAUUCCUUUUAUUAAAUAAUAUAAUAAAUUAUUUUUAAUUAUAUUUUAUAUUAAAUUCAACUAUUACCUUUUUCCACUACUCUCUACAAAUGCAUAAAAUUAACCAAACAUAAUAUUAAUUAUUAUUUCUAAAAAUAGCAGCAUAAUAAACCAAACAUAAUUUUAUUUUUAUUUCUAAUUAUUUCAAAAUAAUAAGGUAUCCUAAGGAUAAAAAAAUUUGUCCUAAUUUUUGUUGUACUUUAAUCGCUACCGAAUAUACAAAGUAUCGCCACCAAAUGUCUAUAAUGGCGACAAAAAUUGUCACCACAUAUUACCACAAUAGAUCCCACCGGCGAAUGAAUCAGUGAUGAGAUAUGAAUUUUGCCACUUUAAAUAUAACUUUUUGUGGCGACAAUAGACGCCAUGAAAGGGUAUCAUUUGGUAGUGACAUUUUAUGCCACCAAUUCUUAGGAUUUGGUGGCAAUUAAUUUUUGCUACCAACGUUCAACUUUAGGAGGCAAAUAUUUGUCACCACUAACGGUGUCAAUUGAUGGCAAAUACUAGUCGCCACUAAAUACAUCAUUUAAUGGUAAAUAUUUGUCGCCACUAAAUGUUUCAUUUGGUGACAAAUAUUUAUCGUCAUGAAAUGUGUCCAUUUGAUGGCAAAAAUAUGUCGCCACUAAACAUAACAUUUGGUGGCAAAAAUUUGUCACCAAUAAAUGUAGCAUUUGGUGCCGACAAAUUAUAUUCACAUUCGAUAGUGUUAUUUUCUAGCACCAAAUGUUCAUACACAAAUAUAUAUUAAUAAGAUAACAAAAAUUAUAAGCAAAAAUACAUUCAAACCAAACUCCAACACGACAAAUCACUUCAAACUAAUGUCAUACAUUAAUUUCUCCAACAAUAUCAACGAAAAUAAGAAAAUAAAAUAAAAAUCUAUCAAAUUGCCAACUCAUAAUAUAAGUUCGUGGAAGAUGAAAAAGCAUUCGAAAUCUCAGUUGAUACGAGCAAAUAGAACACCUCCCUUUAAUCCAUCUCAAAAAUAUCUCACUUAGACUUGGAACAUCUGGGCAUAUCAUAAUCUGCAAGAUAUAGAUAAUUUAGAAUAAUUAUUAAGAAUAAUUUAACUUGCUACAUGUCUCUCAAAAAAAAAAAAAAAAACCUUUAGAAGGAUGCAUCGUAUAUUUUGUCGCGUCGCUUGGUUAAUUGCUUUUGAUGGUAAAAAAUAUUCAAAUAAAUAUAUUGUAAAAUUAAUGGAAUUAAAGGUACAAUUAACAGUGGCAUAUAUAUAUUUUGAUUGUAUAAUACAUAGCAAGUAGAAAACCUGCUUAAUUGGAUAAUAUAAUCAAAGAAAAAAAAAACAAUGCUAUAAAUAUUAGAAUCUUUCAUUUUCGUAUCAUAUGAAUUAAUCAGCUCCUAAUAAAUUAUAUAUGAAAAAGUAGAAGUGGUCCAAAUUAUAAGAGAAAUAAAGUCAUUUUUGGUAUAUUUGUCCUUAUCAUACUUCUUCUUAGCCAUGAUUAUAUUUUGUAAUGUGCAUGAUAUUCAUUGAUUCUCAAUUUGGAAGCGAAUUGAUUAAGUCAUACUCCCGGUUUUACAGAAUCACUACAUGAUAUAGAAAUAAAAGGACAAAAAACAGAGUACAAUUUUAUGGGAAAUCUCAAUUUACAAAGACAUAAAAACCUCCUGUCCGUAAUUAAAAUUUUCCCCCUUGCCUAAGUUUUAUGCUUUUUAUACUCGAGUUUGGUAAGCUAUGCACAAAACCUUCUCCACAGAAACUGCAAAAUAUUACUGUUAUUAUUAUUAUUAUUAUUAAAAAAAGAAAUGAGAAAAGUGAACAUAAUGCCCAUAUUACAAAAAGUACAUGCUCUAGUUUUACUGAGUUAGUUUGGCUUACCAGCCUCUCAUCCAAGCUAUGUAAAAUCAGAUCAACUUAAAUUAUAACCAGCAAGGAAAGCCUAAUCAGCAGCCCAAGAGCUAUGGACUGCUACGGCACCACGUAGAGGAAAAACCUAACAACAUGCAUAAGAAAAUUUUUUUGGUUAGUUGCUCGGCAAGGUAAUGAUAAGAGGAAGCAAAUCAAGAAGCUAUAUAACAUUAAAGGUACAAUAUCUCACUGUUCUUAUCUUAUGCAUAUUGAUCCAUUUGCUUAGAUCGAGCUUUUACCGUCUCUCCUUUAUGUACAAUUCAUUUUAAAUCACUAGUUCCCGCAAGUCCAUAUUCAUUGAUCAGUAGAGUGUGGAUUCAAUUGUUACGGGGAGGUUUUUGAUGAUAUAUAUAUAUAUAUAGUGUAUAUACAUGGAGAUAAUCAAAUUGUAGAGAUAAAAGAUAACAUAUAAAGGCAUGCACCUAUUCCAACUGAUCUCUCUUAAAGCUAUAACUACACAUGCUUUAAUUUGGUGAUUUAUUGGAUAGCUCAUUUACAACUGAUCCUGCAAAAAAUUCUAUAAACCUGGGUUAAUUUAUCCUGAACAGUAACAUCGUCAGUGGAAUUCCACAUAUGUCCAACCAAAAAAAAGAAACAAAAAAGAAGGAUAAUGACAUAGAAUUCGAACUUCUAAAUUAGACGCGUAAUUUAAUCUCAAAUGGACCACAAAUAAGAAAGCUGUUGUAGCAAACAGCAUAUAAGAAGAGCUUAACAUACAGUAGAUUAUAAUAUAAUUACUGUUCAACUGAGAGGAAUCAUGAGGAGCAGAAUAUAGUUUUAGACUUUGUGAAUCAAAUUCAUCGAAGCACCAAUGUUUAUGUAGUUUUCUCAUUUUGAAUCCUGUGGAAUUAGUUAUCAUCAUCAGUUGUAGAAGGAAUUAGUGGUUUAGAAACUGCGAAAUAAAUUAUAUGUUUCCAAAUAAAUACUUCUCUAUCAUGUAUGGCCAAUUUUGUCACUAAUGCUACCCGGAACGACAGAGGAGCGAACAAUAUGCAUUUCUUUUAUCUAUAUAUAUAUAUAUAUAUAUUGUAAUACAAGCUAAUGAUUCUCGAGUUUUCCUUCAACAGGUGUUCACAGAAAUAACUGUUAGUUAGUUGAUCAUUCCCUUGCCGAUCAACUAACCAAAAAUUAUAAUCAACUAAACCAAAAGAAUUAUAACUAACCACAAUGAAAUUGGAGUGAUGAUGAUAACUAAACAUUUAAGGUUUUCACCUCAAAUUCUAGUUCUAGAUUAAUCAAAUCCUAAACAAAGAGCUUGGAACUAGAUUAAUCAAAUCCCAAACAUAGAGCUCACUAUCAUCCGCAAGAGCAAAGCAAUUAACGGGUAUUAUUCAUGACCCUCAAAGAAAUAUAAAUCAAACACAUGGCGAGCAAAAUAUAACGAGGAGAUCGGCAACGAGGAGAUAAAGAGGAGAACCUUUCACUUGUGUGGGGAUCGGCAUGCAGCGAGGAGAUUGGCGGCGAAGGGGUCGCCGGCGAGGAGAUCGGCGGUAAAAGCUCGCCACUGUAUGUGAUCAUAUAGUGGCAACAAAAUAGACAUUUAAUGGCAAAAAAAAAAAAAUUGACACUUAAGCUAAUUAAUCGAUGACAUUUUUUUUAUCAUCAUCAUAUUUAACCUUAUAGUAACGACCAAUUAGUCAUUUAGUUGCAACAAUAAUAUUGCUACUUUAAGUUAAUUAAUCAACGGCGAUUUUUUUUAUCACCACCGUAGACUAUAUAGUGACGACAAAAUAGUUAUUUAGUGGCGAAAUUAGUAUUGCCACUUUAAGCUAAUUAAUUGGUGAUAAUUUUUUUUAUCGCCACCGUAGAUAACUAUAUAGUGGCAACAAAAUAGUUAUUUAGUGGCGAAAUUAGUAUUGUCAUUUUAAGCUAAUUAAUUGGUGAUAAUUUUUUUUAUCACCAGCGUAAAUAACUAUAUAGUGGCAACAAAAGUGUUAUUUGGUGGUGAAAGUAAUAUCGUUAUUUUAAAUUAAUCAAUCGGUGGCCAUUUUUUUUGUCGCCACCAUACAUAACUAUAUAGUGGCGACAAAUUUUAUCGCUACCUUAUUUUUGCCACAAAUACGAUCUUUUCUUAUAGUGACUACAAGGAAUUGAACAAAGUGACAAUCAAGAACAAGUAUUCUUUAUCGUGCAUCGGUGAUUUAUUCGAUCAGUUACAAAGAUCUUGUUCCUUCUCAAAGAUUGAUCUGCAAUCGAGUUAUCACUUGUUGAAGGUAAAGGCCAAGGACAUCUCCAAGAUGACUUUUAAGACAGUAUGGGUAUUAUGAGUUCAUAAUAAUGCCUUUUGAAUUGACUAAUGCCCCUGCUACAUUCAUGGAUUUGAUGAAUAGCAUGUUUAAAUUGUACUUGGAUAAGUUCAUGGUGGUGUUCAUCGACGACAUCUUGAUUUACUCCCGGAAUGAUGCCGAGCAUGAAGAACACUUAAGGAUAGUGCUAAAGCUUUUGCUAGAGACGAAAUUGUAUGCCAAGUUGAAAAAAUGCAAGUUUUGGCUUCAAGAGGAUGCUUUCUUAAGCUAUGUGAUUUCUCCCGCUGGAGUGAUAGUUGACCUGAAGAAGGUUGAUGCAAAUCGAGAUUUGUCUAGAUCGACGACGAUCACUGAGGUGAAGAGCUUCUUGGGAUUAGCUGGAUACUACCGUCGGUUCAUAGAAGGCUUUGUGAAGCUUUCCACACCUCUCACUUGAUUGACUCAAAAGAAAAUUAAAUUUAUCUGAAAUGAGGAGUGCUAGAGAAACUUUGAGGAUUUGAAGCUAACGUUGAUGUUAGCUUCUAUCCUUUCUGUAAGGGCUGGGAUUUUGACAGUAUAGUUAAACUCUCUGUUGACGAUAUUUUUAUGUGUAUUUUAAUUACAAAAGCACUCGUUAAGUUCCAGGAGACUCAAAUAGUAAGAUUGAUACUUCUACUGCAUCGAAAAGCUAAGGGCCUGUUUGGCUUAGCUUUUGAAAAAAUAAUUUCUGCAGAAGUGAUUUUGAUUUGGAGAAUUGAUUUUGAUAAGCUGCAUAGCGUUUGGCUGAGUUUAAAUAAAAGUGAUUUUUCUGAAGUAAUUUUCUAAAACUGUUUGACAAAAAAAUUUUAAUACUUGCAUAUAUUAAUAUUUUACUAAAUUUUAUUUUAAAAUAAUUUAAAAUUUGAAUGUAAAUUAAAAUUUUGAAUUUUAAAUUUUAAAUUUUAAAUUUUAAAUUUUAAAAAUUAAAAUUUAAAAAUUCAAAUAUGAAUUUAAAAUUUCAAAAUUUAAAUUUAAUGUUAAAUUUAUACUUUAAAUCUAAAAUAAAAAUAAAAAAUUUGAGUCCAAAAUCAUAAUCAGUUUUGGAAAAGCAAUUUUUUUCUGAUUCUGAUUCUAGAGCCUUCAAAGGCUUAAUUAGUUUGAUAUUGAGGCCUAUCUAACGCUAUUAGAUAAAUAAAGUUUGGGUAAAAGCAUAUAAAAAUAUGCUUCUUCGUUCUCCGAUGGGACCGCAGAAAAUAUACUGUAACCGACUAAUCGCGAUAUACAAAAUGCAAUAUUAUGUACGAAAAUAAACUCGUACUUUCUCAACGCACGUAACGCAAUCUCCCCAUAAUCCCAAACGAAGCCAAAAUCAGUUUUCUGAUUCUAAAAAGCAGAAUCAAAUUUUCUAUCUGUCGUUCCCAAACGGUCUACUGAGUUGAAAAGUAAUUUUAAGCUCAAAAUCACUUCUAAGAAGUUAGACCAAACACCCCCUAAAUUAGCUUCUAAAAUAGAAGUUGCUGCUACAACCAAGAACAUAAUUGCCGAAUACUGCAACUAAAAUAAACAUGUGGAUUUCUUUUCACCUAUGCCAUAAAUUCUCAUAAACAACACCUUCAUUCAUGCAUCUACGAAGGACAAAUCAAAUAUGCUUCUUGAAAAUUACAAGCGCAUGAUAAAUUAAACAGCAACCAGAGAAAACAAGAAACCCAUAGCCUAGGGCAUGACAAUCGAAAUUAGUUGACAAACAAAAAAAGAAACAGUUUUCGAUAGCUGAGCUAGGACUGUUAAGUGAUGCAUGUAAAUUUGAGCUUAGAAACACAAAUAGUGAGACAAAUAUAAUUCAGCUCCUCAGGAUAGAAUAAAAACUAGUAACGAGAAAUGUUUCUCGAUAACCAUUUGUUUAACUUGCAACCAGCUGACCGCCUGAAUUCUGCAGAAGUAACGUAGGAAUAAAAAUAACUAACGGAUCAAUUGGCGUGCUAUCAUCUUUCUGACAUAAACACAAACAAACACAAGAAAACAUAAACCAUGGCAAAUACUGGGAUCUUUCAUCAAGAUAAAGAAUCAUCUAAUUUUUGAAAAGAGCCACUACCUUUUAGCUCAAGCACAGCAUAGUCUAAAUCUAUGGAUGAGAAAAGAGAAGGCAUUGGUCACUGGGAAUUAGGGAUCCUGCUUGUAUAAAGACGUAUAUUACCUGGUAGAAAUCAUAUGCCAACACUACGGUGAUAUUUCCUUCCGAGAUAAGAGUAACAGGAGCAGUGCUACUAGUUGUAGACCAUGUAUUUGGGCGUUCCGCUGAACUUCUGACAACCCUUAAUAACCUUAUUCACUGCAUCAAGAAAGUCCUUUUCUGUUACCGUCUUCCUGUGUGCCCGGAUCGCAUACAUCCCGGCUUCGGUGCACACACUCCUUAUGUCCACCCCUAAUAUAAAGAAAUACAGGAAAUAGUUAGGAACUUAUAAAGAACAAAUAGAGCAAUUUUGAUGUUUGUCCAAGUAAAAUAGACCGUAGAAAAACAUAUGACACCAAGCAUCUAAGUUCCAAGCAUUCGGACUGGCUUUUACUUUUUUUUACUUUUAAAGAAAAGGAGAAAAAAAGUGUAUCGGAGCAUAGUAACUNUAUGCUUACGUGCUUUUCAAUGGAACUACAAAAAUCAUUUCUUCAAAACUGAAUUAGCCUAGAUGUUAUGUAAGCUGAACUAUAUAUCCUUAACUAACAGGAAAGAUGCAUGAACCAAGCUCAGAACCUCUUAAACCAGAAGGGAAUGAAUAAUGACUCAGAAUACUGUAUUAUCCACCAAAUUAAUAUAUAUAUAUAUUAAUUGUAUUAAAAAAUAUUCUAGAACUAACCUGGACAAGGUUGAAGCUACAAUUUCUUUGUGUAUGAAGAAGGAUUAGUCAUCUUCCCGCUUAAUUCAUACUUGCCAUGUGUGAUUUCCUACUUGGGUCUCUACAAGCAAGCAGAAAAGCUUUAAAGCUUGAGAAACAAGUUAGCAGACUAAAGCCGAAGACUUGGAUAUGAUUAACAAUAGACUUGUACUACUCUCACAACUAAGGCGACAUCUAUAACACGGUUUCUUUCUAAAAGCCUCGAGUAGAAAAGGAACUUAAUAUGAGGAAACACUGGUGGACUCAAAUAGUAAGUCUGAUACUUCUGCUGCAUCGAAAAGCUAAUAAAUAAAUUAGCUUCUAAAAUAGAAGUUGCUACUACAACAAGAACAUAAUUGCCGAAUACUGCAACUAAAAUAAAAAUGUGGAUUUCUUUUCACCUAUGCCAUAAAUUCUCAUAAACAACACCUUCAUUCACGCAUCUACGAUGGACAAAUCAAAUAUGCUUCGUGAAAAUUACAAGCGCAUGCUAAAUUAAACAGCAAGCAGAGAAAACAAAAACCCGUAGCCUAGGGCAUGACAAUCAAAAUUAGUUGACAAACAAAAAAGGAAACAGUUUUCAAUAGCUGAGCUAGGACUGUUAAGUGAUGCAUGUAAAUUUGAGCUUAGAAACACAAAUAGUGAGACAAAUAUAAUUCAGUUCCUCAGGAUAGAAUUUAAACUAGUAACAAGAAAUGUUUCUCGAUAACCAUUUGUUUAACUUGCAACCAGCUGACUGCCUGAAUUCUGCAGAAGGAACGUAGAAAUAAAAAUAACUAACAGAUCAAUUGGCGUGCUGUCAUCUUUCUGACAUAAACACAAACAAACACACAAGAAAACAUAAACCAUGGCAAAUACUGGGAUCUUUCAUCAAGAUAAAGAAUCAUCUAAUUUCUGAAAAGAGCCACUACCUUUUGCUCAAAGCACACCAUAGUCUAAAUCUAUGGAUGAGAAAAGAGAAGGCAUUGAUUGGUCGCUGGGAAUUAGGGAUCCUGCUUGCAUAAAGAUGUAUAUUACCAGGUAGAAAAUCAUAUGCCAACACUACGGUGAUAUUUCCUUCCGAGAUAAGAGUAACAGGAGCAGUGCUGCUAGUUGUAGACCAUGUAUUUGGGCGUUGCGCUGAACUUCUGAUAACCCUUAAUAACCUUAUUCACUGCAUCAAGAAAGUCCUUUUCUGUUACCGUCUUCCUGCGUGCCCGGAUCGCAUACAUCCCAGCUUCGGUGCACACACUCCUUAUGUCCGCCCCUAAUAUAAAGAAAUCCAGGAAAUAGUUAGAAACUUAUGCAGAACAAAUAGAGCAAUUUUGAUGUUCGUCCAAGUAAAAUAGACCGUAGAAAAACAUAUGACACCAAGCAUCUAAGUUCCAAGCAUUCAGACUGGCUUUUACUUUUUUUUACUUUUAAAGAAAAGGAGAAAAAAAAAGUGUAUUGGAGCAUAGUAACUUGUAAAAUAAAAAAGUACAGAGCUACAUCAAUUAUAGAACAUUUUAAAAUAGGUGCCUGAACUUCUAAAAUUUUGACAUAAACUAUCAAAGAACUUUUCGACUUCAGAAAAUUCUACCUCAUUUUGUCAAAACUUAAAAAGGAUUUGUCAAAUUGGUUAUAGAAUAUUUUAUCAAGUAAGAAAUUAACCCAUUAGAUUAUAAAAUACCCCUGUCAAAGAAGUUGCAAAUAUCACCAAGUUUUGAACAAGAGGUACAAAAGAACUAUAAGUUUAGAUAGUAAAUUAACAACUUUAAGUUCAGGUAGGAAAGAUCUGUUCAAUUUUGCUUAAUUGUUAGAUAGAGUAUUAUCAAGACAAACCACUUAUACUACUGAAAUGAGGUAAAGAAACACUUCAGUAAAUGCUCACCAGUGGAGUUUGGGCAGAGGCGAGCAAGAAGCUCAAAUCUGAUGUCCCUCUCGCAAUUCAUUGUUUUUGUGUGGAUCUUGAAUAUCUGUGUGUGACCUUCCAAGUCUGGCAGACCAAACUCAACCUUACGAUCCAAUCUUCCCGGACAGAGUAAAGCCGGGUCCAAAGUAUCAGGCCUGAAAAGUUUGGAACGAGAGGGAGAUGAAUUCAUAUGUUCUAAGGGCAUGGUUAAGAGUUGACUUGAAGUACAGCUAUAAACUAGAAAACAUCAAGCUGUCGAACCUAUUGGUUGCCAUUAGAACUUUGAUAUUUCCUCUAGCAUCAAAACCAUCAAGCUGAUUGACGAUUUCAAGCAUAGUACGUUGAACUUCAUUGUCCCCACCAAUGCCAUCAUCAAAACGAGCACCACCAAUAGCAUCAACUUCAUCAAAAAAGACAAUGCAUGCCUUCUUUGAACGGGCCAUCUAAAUGACAAGACUAGUUAGACAGACAAUGAAAAUAACUAUGACGGUAAGGAAAUCCAAGAACAAUAAUCAAAUAAGUUUGCCAUUGAAUCGCCGGAAACCAAACAACCUGGAAAAGUUCGCGGACCAUCCGAGCUCCCUCUCCAACAUACUUUUGAACCAGCUCGCUUCCAAUGACACGAAUAAAGCGGGCAUCAGAUCUGUUGACCACAGCUCUAGCAAGGAGAGUUUUUCCUGUUCCAGGAGGACCAUAACAAAGGACACCUUUCGGAGGAUCAAUUCCAAGCUUCACAAAUUUCUCUGGAUGAAGCGUUGGAAGCUCCACAACCUGAGGAAGAAUAAUAAAAGAAAACGAAAAUGAUGCAGUCAUUGACCAACUUGCAGGUACCCACUAUAUGUAUAAUCAAUUUACACUACUGUAAAACCUGAAUGAGCAAUAACAAUAUGAUAUUUUUAAAUCACAAAAAAAGGCAUACCUCUCGCAUCUUUUCAAUCUGCUCCUUACAGCCACCAACAUCGUUAUAUGUAACAUCAGGCUUCUCCUCCACCGUCAUCAUCGUAACACUUGGAUCAAUUUUUGGUGGCAAAGGAAUCUGGAUUUGAUACUUAUUUUGAUCAACUCUGCAAACGAAAGAUUAUUAGAUCAAACCAUGAUGUCCAACCAACACCAAUUGAGAUUCUCAAUAAAAGUCUCAGUCCUAGUAAAAUUAUUGAUUACAACUUUGGGCAUAACUGCACCAUGCCACAAAUGCUUAUAGAUACAAGUAGUACUGAAGCACUGCAGAUGGUUUGAUGUGAUAUAAUGUAAGGUCAUCUAAACUGAAUAUUGUCAGUUGCACAACAGAACAUACAGUCCAGGUAAGAUUGAUUCCAACAUCCACCUCUGUAUUAAUUAUGUAUGUCACAGGAGCUUUGACGGCCUACAAGUAUUAUAAUGCUCAUGCAAAUACCAGAUUAAAGGACUCAAAAGACAGUACCAAGGAGAUAGAUGUAUAAUUCCUUGUAGAUAGUAUGUUGUCACAACCAGCAACUAGGUGCCAAGGCCAUCCAUCACUGUGAUUAUGUAACUCAAGUCUGUUUUGCCAAUUAGUUGCUUUAGAAAUAAUCUUGCACUAAUAAAUUAUUGUGCUCUAUUUUUUUAACUCUUAUAUGAGACACUAGCUUUAGGGUGGGUGGGGGAAAGGCAGAGGGGGUGGGAAGGACUAUUAUUGCUAUUAUAAUGAAAACAUCAAUAACGGCACACUAGACAGUUAGAAACACUAAUACACCUCAAAUGAGGCAGUCACUGAAAAGAAAUUGAGACAACUAAUCAAGUGAAUGGUAUUGUGGCCUUACCCAACUCGCAUGCCUUCAUCAAUAUCAGUUGGAGAGACUUUGUCACCCAACCCGACCACAAACUGCAUAAGUCCAAUAGAAGAAAGAGAAAAUUUAAGUUGGAACUUGGGAUGUCCAUGUUGUUGUCCAUUUGUCCUGAGAAGUAAAUAUAGUAGAAAGAGCAUUACAUGCUCAAAAAGUAUACCUUGGCAAAUUGCUUAACAUUUAUCACAUAAUUAGCAUCUUCUGUGUUCGGGCUAAUAAUCUUCGUACACCUAGCAACCUUUCGAUGAAACAACAAUCUAGUCAGACACCAAACAUAUGUAAGAUGUAAAACAAGUUCACUAAUAAACUCCCAGAUAUCACAGAAUAAAACAAGCACGAAUACCCAAAAUUCAUGCAAAUUUGAGACAAAAAUACCUGCAGAGGUUGUUCCUCUUGCAUCAUUUGCUUGUCAGAAACUAAAUCUCACUGGCUAGGUGCAGCUAAACCAGUGUCUGACUCUUUGAUUCCUGGCAUUUCAUAACAAAAAAUGUCUCAAAGGUUCCAAGAAUAUAAUAGCAACAUAUUUGAUAACAAAAACUACCUAUCACUACAUUAUGCUAGUUUAAAUAACCUGUGGAAUCAACUUAUUCCAAAUAGGCUUUCAGAAAUCUAAAGAAAACAAAGAAAGCAUUUUAUAUCUAAAUUAGGUCUUCAUGAGUAACGACAACCGAAUCCAGUCACAAAAGACGCCACCUUGAAAAGCACAUCUCUAUUUCAAGCAUCUUACUAUGUAUCCAUUCGUAAUGUCCAUUCUAUGCCUGAUUUUGCUACAUAAUAGAACUGGACUAUAAUAACAUAAACUCAAUUCUUUAUGGAACUAUAAAUUAAAACAUCAAUAAUAUGCAUCAACUGCUUAAGUACACAAAACUUGAGUCAAAAGAAUGAUUCUUUACUUAUCACUUGAGAAAGCAGAGUCGCAUUAUUUCAUUACAAGAAAAAAAUAAGCAAAACAAGUUCCAGUUUACAUAUUUAUACAUCCAUUUCUUCGUAUGUACAUAUAUUUAGGCAUAUGAUGAUAUUAACACACUACUUACCACAUAGAUCAUUGAUCUUCUUCACCAUCUCCUUAAUCUCCUUCUCUGCCUUCUUUAUGCUCUCAGAAUAAGGUCCCAGACCCUGCCAUAUCACACAGUUCUCAUUUUAUCAUCAUAAAUGCACUUAAACAGAAUAAGAGGAACAUCAAAUAGCUUCCACACAAACCCUUAUUAUUCAAUUGAUCCAAACAACAAAGGUAUUAAUAAAUCACCACACUAGAUCGCGUUCACCAACAAUAAACCUAGAUCUAGCGGAAUCUGAUGCACAAACAAAGUAACCUAACCUAGCCCUAAAUCGAGGCGAACCAAAGGAGCGAAGAGAUUAGGGGAUGCGUACGUAGGUUUUGAGGAGGGCGAUGUCGUCUUCAUCGAGGGGGCGCGGGUUCUUCUCGUUCAACUCGUCUUCGGGCUCCGGAGCCAUGGCGAGGUCGAGGGGAGGUAGCGAAAAUGGCGAUCCCUCUAUAGGCUCGAGUGGUUUAAACAAUUUAACGAAAUAUUAACGAAGAAGCUGACGAAAAAAUAAAAAUGAAACCACAUGACACUAGCUUGAUACACUUUAAACUACAUAGUAUUAAAGUGAGAAAGUGCGAAACCACAGGGAUGGUUUUUGAAGUUUACCCAAAAAAAAAAGAAAACAACAACAACAACAACAACUCAGGUUCAUUUACAUCAAUUCCGAAAACAAAAAUGGAAUAGCAAUAUUUCAAUCAAAACCAUCAGAAGUACAGCACACACAAUCUGCAAAUUCUGAAACAAACUUUAAAUGCUUCAAAGGCAGUGAAAAACAACAAUUUUGCAUUUAAGAUAUAUUAGCAAUAAAUUAGAAGAAAUAAGAUUACAUGAAUAUCAAGGUCUUGCCUGUCCUCAAAAAUAUCAAAAACUUUCUCACUAAAACUGGAAUAGGUUCUGCAAAAUGUCUAUUAAUAUGUUCCUCCUUACAAAAUACAACAGACACUAUUCCUACCGGUUAUACAAAUAAGACGGAAACACAUGAAAUUACAUCAGAGAUGCCGCCGCCUCGGGAUAAGUUUCAAGUUUCUUAACAUUAAAGCAUUAGAUAUAUAUAGCAAAAGUAGUUUGUAAAAAAUGUUGCAGAACAAAUUUGAAGCGCGAGUUCAAAAUUUUUUGUCAGUUGAUUCAAUUGAACGUAAUUGUCGACUUCUUUAGGGUUACUAGGUAACCAGAAGUUAUUGAUUGUUAUGCCAAGUGACGACAUCCUCGUAUGGUAGAUUGCCCCCAAAUAUAUUGAGAGAACUUCCAACUGUAAUAUCAACGCGGCCCUUGCCAGCGGAUUUUAUCCUCUCCAGAUCUUCCAUUGUUGAGACUCCACCAGCAUAAGUUACCGGAAUCUACAAUGUGAAAAUGUUGAACUAUAAGUAUGAGGAGUUUUUUAUCAACAUCCGCUGAUCAUAUUGAGCACAAACAAAGCUAAAAUCUUUCAUGCUCAAAACAAAUUAAUAUAUACUAUAAAAUAGGAGUACUAAUUUUAUAAAGAGACAAUGUAAAGUUGCGCUCAUCAGUAAUGCAAUGUUGCAUUUGAGGUUGGGCCAAAAGACACUACACCUGUAAGGUACUAGAUUUUAGAAACACAAAAGCUAAUAUUAAAAAUGAAAGUAUACAAUAAUUAGUGUCUUUAAUAAAGACCUGUAGUGACAAAUUAGCAAAACCAGAGCUCUUUCUUGGGUGAUCAGGGGAACUAAGUCAUAAACAUAUGGAGAAAACUGAAUAACAGAAAGUAAGGUAUUACAUACAGGUGAGUAGCAUCCAAGCAAUGUCACAAGCUCCUCAUCAAUUCCUAGCCUGCCAUAGCACCAAGAACAUUAAUUAGAAACGGAGAAAAUAUAGUUAACGACUAAGUUCUUGUUGGGGCCUAAAUUUGACCGAGUCCAUCAGAAUACUAAAAUGCUAACCAUUCACAAUGUGAUAGAGGUGAAAGAAGAAACCAGCGAUAUAUUACGAAAAACCAAAUGGUAUGCCAAAGGUAGAGCAAUAAGAAGCUCCGAGUUGCUUUAAAAAGAAUCGAGUAGAAAUACUGUAGAGUAAGUCACCUUUUCCCCUCCACAUCAACUCCAUGAACCAAAAAUUCAUCUGCAUAGGUUGCAAGAAAUACCAAUGUCUGCUCUUCUAGAAUGAUAUCACCGAAUUUCUGCCAUCUGUCAGUAACAAUGGCGUAUUUACCAUUCUACACCAAAAUCAUAAAUUCUACAAUCAAAUAAUAAUACCAUUGAAAAGAAACAUAAUCUGCUAUCAACUCGGUAUGCACAAAAAAGAAGUCUAAUUGUAGAUGUCAACGGCAUGUAGCUAGAGGAUGAAACAAGUGAAUAAGUAAAACCAACAAAAUCAAGGAAAUUUCCCGUACCUUCUUUCUACAACUAAGAUCCAAGACAAGCCUUUGCUUUCCAAUUAUACCAACAAGAUGUUUAAGCCGUUCAAGGUUCAUUUGUCCAUUACUAAAAAUGUACUGCAAGACAAAUAUUUAAAUAGUUACUAUGAACUCAAUAUAAAAGGUCAGCUUUGAAUUGACAUAUGAACUUACUAUAUAUUAGUGGCGGGUAAAGCAUUAAAUAUGUGUAGAAAACCUGUGUUCCCCGAGUAAUGUGUUUUACACUUUGAAAUGGAGGGACUCGUGAGAUUAACAUUAAUACAUUGGCUUUCAUUAGAACCUUGGAAUUUUAAGUUCUUCUAAACUUGCAACUACAUAUUGGAAAAAAUUUCAAUUACAAAACUACUUGUUAUGUGAAAGUUAUUGAGUACAGGAGAGAAGUGUACAAAACAAUGACUAUGAUCAUUACAAAGAUUGAUAUGAGCAAAUACAAACCAGAAGUAUUUUGUGUACAAUAAAAAAAUAAGGUCAUAAGAUAAUUAUGCUGCUGCUCAAUCAAGCAAACAAUGUUUGUGAAAUAAAUAAAUAAAUCACAUACUGAUGUAACAAUCACGUGACUUGCACCUUCGUUGAUAUAAGUCAUCGCAUUGUCCGAAUUGAUCCCACCUCCAAGUUGCAUGCCACCUAAAGUAAGGACAAUUUACGUUCAUAUGGGCAUGGAAUUAAGCAGACAAAGCUUCCACUCCAAGCAAAAAAGUGCUAGAGAAAGUACAUCAAAAUCUAUUAAGAGCAUCAUUGUAACAUUAUUUUACCACGGAUAUACAAAAAUCAUAGGCUAUGAUGGAGCAGCAUAAUGGAAAAGGUUACCAUCAUUGUAGGGUCUAGGAGGAGCAGCCUAUAGUUGUCUCUAGGGAGGUCAUUUGCAUCAUUCUAAUCCACAAAGCCGAGGAAACUAAUAAAAUAGAAUAAAAAUAUCCUACUCCUAUUACAAAAAGCUUCUUAAUGCUGGAAAUAGUAGCUUGUUCGACUAAACGAAUUAGGUCUUCGUGUCAUUCGCACAGUAACAAUCCACUGAGGUUCCAAUUGCUGCACAUAGUCAGAAUUCUGACAAACUACAAUCCAUUACAUCUUUAAUCCGGAUUGAGAGAACGGAAGAUUUUUCUACUUUACACCUACCCGAGCGAGGACUUUUUUUACUUUCAGAAGUUCAAGCAAGAAGAACCCAAAGUUUGCUCACAGGAUGCAAAUUAUAAGCCAUUUGAUUGCGCGCAACUACAAUUAACUAAUAAUAAGAACUAUGCAUUUACAAAAUCAGGCAAACUAGUUUGGUCAAAUCUCGAUAUUGUGAAUUUAGCAGCUUACUAUCUUCCACAGUUUUUAAAUUCAACUAUUCAUUAAUGCGGUGUUCAAUUGCUAUGAAUCUUACAGUUAAUUGACCAUUAAGCAACAUAAAAAAAAUCAAUGGUACAGUAUAGUGGAUGCUUCGGAGCUAAAGCAAGUAACAAUCAUGCAAAAUCAUGGCCGAACAUUUCAAACCCCCACAUUUCAUCAAAAAAAUCCUUCUUUGAAGGAAACAAGUUAAGGAUAUGAAACCCUAAUUCCAACCAAAGAAGAGAUGAUCUCACCAGGAUAAGCAUGCAAUGCCUCCAACGCCGCGGCACGGCUCGCAUCAUCGGCCCCGAGCAUUAUAACAUGGCCCCCCGUGAGCCCAUCCUCCUUGUAUAGAUUCGCGAACUCUGCCGGAGACUUAUCCGAUUCAAAAUUCGUCACAAGAGUCGUUCCAUCCACCACUGUAUCCCUAAGUGUGGAUCCCACGAUCUGCUUCACUUUCCCCUACCAACCCACAGCAAAUUCGAUCAAAAACUAGGGUUUAAGCCAAACCAAGCAAAGGAAACGAGCGCGGGGGCGAUCUCGAAUCUAGGGUUUACCUUGUGGAUGUCGAUGCAGGGCCUGAAUCGAACGGCGCAUGCAACGAAGGAGACACAAUCUACGCCGUUGGAUCGACAAGUUCGGAGAGAGAGGGGUUUACCGUUAGGGUUUCUCCGAUCGGGGAUAGGGUUGAGGGGAGAGGGAGGGAGCCUCGCUCUUGCGCCAAAAAUCAUGCGCAUCGCCAUUGUUGAGGGGCGGAGUUGGAGGGGAGAGAUAGAGGAGAACGAUACUCUCAAAAAAAAAAUAAAAAAUAAAAAAUAAAAAAAUAAAAAUAAAAGUAAAAAAAUUCAAAAUAAUCAGAUCCUAAAUCUAUCUUUUAUCCUUUGGCGUGCAACAUACAUAUUUUUAAAAUAUAUAUAUAUAUUAGAGAUUUUUAGAGUACAUGUUACUAUAUAACAUAGUUAAUUCGGAUUCGGCAAAAAUUCGGUACGGGUAUAAUUCGGAUAAAAUUCGCCUUCUAAUUUUUAAAUUCGUUGAAAAAUAAGGCUAAAAAACGGAUUCGCCAAUUAUUCGGAUACGUGAUUUAUACGGAUAUUAUACGUUCACCAAUUAAAAAUUCGGAAUAAAAAAUUCGGCUAUUAAAUUAAGUUUUUUUUCUCUCAAGAUUUAUGCUAUUAGCAUAAAUACUCAUAUUUCUUAAAGAAUAUAACAAUAAAGAGCUACAAAAUUAAGCUAAUUAAGUAAAAAAAAAUAGCAAACUAUAUUAUGCCCCAAAAUAAAUAAAUAAUUAAGCAAAUAAGAGAUNAUUAAGAUAGUCCAUAUAUAAAUAUAAAACAUAGAAGGUUCACAUACAAGCAUAGUUGGAAACUAAUACAAGAUAAAACUUGCACUUUGCAUAGCAGAGAAUGGACACAUUCAAUUUAAGCACUCGAGCCAUUUGUGUAUAAAAGAGUAUCCAUCAGAUGGACGAAAAGCUUCCAACUUUUGCUUUGAUCUACUUAAUUUUAUAUUAUCUUUUUGUCAGAUAUAUAAUUAUAUAUUCCAAAGGAAUAGAGUGACAGUGGAAGCUCUGUAGAUUUUCCUCGGCCACCUGUUUUUCGGGCCAUCAGAGUGACAGUGUAAGAUGAUUUCUCUUUUUUUAGAUAUGUUUUGCAGAUUCUUUUUCUGUAAUCAUAUUAUCAACAAUGUUUGUAUAUUCUUAUUGAAGAAUGAAAACUCAAAUCGUACCUAGUUUGUAAAGAGCGGAAGCGGAAGAGGAAGAGGAAGAGGCGACGAGGAGGGUUUUGAUUUCUAAAGAUUGAAGAACCCGAUCUUCGAUGUGGCCCCGCGGGGGCUUCCGAUGGCGUUCGGCGAGCGGCCAGAAGGGAAGGGGAAGGGAUAGGGGCUGGGGUAGGUGACAGGGCCGCAGGGGUGAGAAGCAAGGGCACAAACCUUUUGAUCGAGCAAUUUUUUUUUUCUUUUUUCUGUUUUGCGCGAGCGGCUAGCGCGACUUGCCGCCAUAGUUAGUUAAUUCGGAUUCGGCAAAAAUUCGGUACAAGUAUAAUUCGGAUAAAAUUCGCCUUCUAAUUUUUAAAUUCGUUGAAAAAAAGGGCUAAAAAACGGAUUCGCCAAUUAUUCGGAUACGUGAUUUAUAUGGAUAUUAUACGUUCACCAAUUAAAAAUUCGGGAUCAAAAAUUCGGCUAUUAAAUUAAGUUUUUUUUCUCUCAAGAUUUACGCUAUUAGCAUAAAUACUUAUAUUUUUUAAGAAUAUAAGAAUAAAGAGCUACAAAAUUAACACUAAUUAAGUAUAAAAAUACUAAACAAUAUUUAUGCCUCACAAAUAUAUAAUAUUUAAGCAAAUAAGAGAUCAAGAUAAGUCGCAUAUUUAAAUGUAAAUAUAAUAAAGGUUCAUACAAGUAUAGUUAGAACUAAAUACAGAUGAAACUGGCACUUUAGAUUGCCAUAUGCAUAUCUAAAAUUCUUAAAGUCUAAACAGUAAAAACAAAUAUAAUUACAUAAAGUGUAGAAGACCCAGUGAGUCAAUGUCCUUGAAAGACACUAACAAAUUUUCCUUUCUGCAAGUGUCGACAGAUCAUGAAAUUGAUUAAUAUAAUACCAAGAUUUCCUGUGCCAAGGUUUAUUAAGGAUUAUUUUUUGACUAUGUUUUGGUCUUCUUUGUGCAUAACAAUGGACAAUUUGACAAUUUAGCACUCAAGCGGCCAUUUGUUGUAUAAAAAAGUAUCUCAUAGAUGGCUAAAGCUUCCAACUUUUGCUUUAAGACAUGGAAACUCAAAUCGUACCUGUUUGUAAAACCACCCGAUUACUGAUCUAUGUUUAGAUAGCGGAAGCGGCAGCGGAAGAGGAGAGGCGACGAGAGAGGUCUCGAUUUCUGAAGAUGUGAAUGAACCGAUCUCCGAUCUCGAUUUCGAAGAGGCAGGCUUCGAUGCGAUCGCGCGAGCGGCGGAAGGAGGAGAGACCGCCGCAGGGUCGAUGGCAGGGCCGCACCGCCGCAGGAAUGAAAGUUAGGGCAAACCUUUUUCUUUGGAGGGGUGGGGCUGGACGGGCGAUGAAAAGUUUUUUUUUUUUUUUUUUUUUUUUUUUUUUUUUUUUUUGAGGCGAACUGCGAAGUUCUCUGAUUCGGUUUUUUUCUUUUGUUUUGGCCACCGCCAGGCCCACUAGUCGCGUCCAGCACGCGAGCGAACGCGGCCGGUCCUUUUGAGCGAUUAUUCGCGAACCGAUUUAAAUUUCUACGAAUGGGGGGGGGGGGGGUGGGUAUUACUUUUCUAUACUGUUUAUAAAACUAGAGUUUGUUAAAUUUUUUUCUCUUUUCAAAAAUAGCUCUUUCUUUUUACUAUUUUUAAAUUAAAUAUCCUCGCAUUUGAAUUUAAAUAAAAUGGAUCAAAAUAAAAUUUAAAUUUUAAAUUAAUAUGAAUUUUAUCGAAAAUAUCUCUAUUUUUUAACUAAAUUUUUCAUGUCCAGAAAUUUUGGUUUGUCAGAACAUAAAUAUCUCCAUUAUCUUCGCAUUUAAACUUAAAUCUUAAAGUAAAUCAAAAUUAAAUUUUGAAUUUUGAUUUAAGCAUGAAUUUCUUUCCAAAAAUGUCUCUAUCUUUUUUACUAAUUUUUUCAUCGUCAAAAAUUCUGAACCAUUUAUAUUAAAUACUUCAUUAAAUUUUGGAAAGUAGAUCGAAAUUAAAUUUUAACUUUUAAAAUUAAACAUAAUUAAAAUUUUAAUUAUAUAGAAAAUACCUUAAUACUUAUCCAUCCCCAAUUUUAUCUCAUCAUAAUACUUAUCCAUACAUAAAGUAUAUCUUAUUUCAAUAUUUUCUCAUCUCCAUCGCUACGUUUCUUAAAUAUAAUAAUAAUAAAGUAUAUCUUUUUUCAUUUUCACCUAUAUUUUUUUCCCAUUUGUCCCCGUUGCUGGCACCGGUAUAUCGCCAUCGCUGACACCGGCAUGUUGUCGCCUUCGCCACUUUUGUCACAUUUGGAGAGGUAUUUUGAUCUAAACUGAUGUUUUUUUAAUAUACUUUUAUACUAUUUUAGUAUAUCUAUUUUUUAGUAUUUUCUCAUUUACAUUUAUACAUUGGCACCGGCAUAUCGUCAUCGUCAUCGCCGACAACAGCAUAUUGUCGCCUUCGCCACCUUUGCCACAUUUGGAAAGAUAUUUUGAUCUAAACUGAUUUUUUUUAAUAUGCUUUUAUACUGUUUUAGUAUACCUUUUUUUCAGUAUUUUCUCAUUUACAUUUAUACAUUUAUCAAAUAUAAAAUAUAUAUUUUGUUAGUAAUAUCUUUUUUUUCAUUUUCAUCUAUAUUUUUCUCAAAUAUUUCAAAUAUUUUUUAGUAAUAUCUUUUUUCAUUUGUUCCCAUCGCCGACACCGACGCAUCGUCAUCGUUCUCAUCAUCGACAUCACCGGCACCGGCACAUUAUCACCUCAACCAUCUUUACCACAAUUAGAAAGGUAGAUCCCACUUAAUUUUUUUUUUUAAUAUGUCUUUAUACUGUUUUACGUUUUAAGUUUUUUUCAUAACUUUUAUCUCUUCUAUUGAGAUUGUGGCUUAAGAGAUUGUGGCUAAACUUAAGUAUAAGCAGAAAAAUUAUUAUUUGGGUACCUUAAAUUAUUUCUUUUAAUAUGUCUUUAUACUGUUUUACGUUUUAAGUUUUUUUCAUGACUUUUAUCUCUUCUAUUGAGAUUGUGUUAAGUAUAAGCAGAAAAAUUGUUAUUUGGGAUUUGGAUUGCUUAGAUUAAAUAUGGAUAAGACUGUCUAAUUUCGGCCUAUAGCGUAUUUAGAUUUAUGUUACGAUUGUGAUAAUUUACUGGGCUAAAUAAAAGAACCCACAAAAAAAAAGAAAAUAUGUAGAUAUAUUUAAUUGAUUUGGGUUUGAACUUGCUUAACUUGUAAUUUGGACUUGAAAUUGUUAAAUUUGAUUUGGGCUUGAACUUGCCUGGGUGUAAUAAAUUUAUCUAUACUACUUAUAAAAAAGUGAGUUUUUAAAUUUUUUUUCUUUUCCAAAAUGCUAACCCCUAUUAAUAUAAUUCUAAUCACAUACUAACAAUAUCAAUAAUUCAACUUUUAUUGGUAUAAAUCAUAGCCGUAUAAUUUAUUAUUUUAUUUUCUAAUUAUCAUAAAAUGUAUUAAUUUUUGUGAUCUAAUGCAAUGGCCGACCAAUUAAGUAUCUAUCAUUUUUUUUACAUAAAUUGCUUGAGGUCCUCAAGCAGUGCUUAUUAAAUCCGAAUUUUUAUAUAUCUAUCUUAUCUCCUAACAUAAUAUCCAUAUUCCAUCUUAUCUAAUAAUAAUUCUCUUUACAAUUCAUACUUAUCUAUACUAUAUAUAAAAGCAUAUAAAAAUUCUAAUAAUGACAGACGAAAUUAAAAAAGAAAUACAAAAAAUUUCAUGCCAAUGUUUAUGAUUAAUUUGUUAAAAAAAUAUUUCAAAUAAACAUGAAUGGUUAUGAUCAAUCUAUUAAAAAAUGGCAUCUUAUUUAUCAAUAUAUCAAAAUUUACGAAUUGUUAUGAUUAAUUUGUUAAAAAAUAUUUUAAAUAAAAAUAAAUGGUUAUGAUCAAUUUAUUAAAAAAAUAGCAUGCCUAUCCAUAGAUUUUACAUUAAAUUUAAAAUUUAAAUUUUAAUCAUAAAUUGAAUUUAAUAUUGGAUAUCAAAUUUGAACUAAUCAUUAAAAAAUUUUAAUUAUAAUGGAUCAAAAUUAAAUUUUAACAAAUUUAAAUUUAUAAAUUUGGAUAUCAAAUUUCAGUUAACAAUUAAAUAUUUAAUUCUGGUGAAUCAAAAUUAAAUUUCAAAUUUCAAAAUAAAUGUGAAUUAAAUUUUGACGCUUUUAGUUUAAACAAUAUACUUAAAUUUUAAAUUUAUUAGAAUUUAAAAAAUAUAAAAAUAAUAUAGAAUAUUGCAGAUAUUUUCUAAUAUAAUAUAACAUAUAAAUUUAUCAAAUAUAAUUUUUAUUGUAUAUUUUAAAUUUUCAUACUAUCCACUAUCUCUCAAUUAAUUAACUAAAAAUAAAUUAUAUUUGAAAAUUAGAGUGAUUAAAAAAUAAGCUUAUCAAAUCGAUUUUAAAUUUUAUGUUUGCUUCAUAAUUUCAAACGUGAAUCCAUAAUUUAAUUUAAAAUUUAAAAUUAAUUUAAAAUUUUAAUAUUUGGCUAUAUAAAUAGGCUGUUUCAAAAUGCAAAUAAUUAAAUUAUAUACUCCAAAAACUAUUUAUUUUCAAAUUAGGAUUCAAAUUAAUUUUAAAUUUUAAAUUUUGUUCAAAAAUUUAAAUGUGAAUCAUUAACUUAAAAUUUA
This 50557-nucleotide long non-coding RNA is filed under the name Ananas comosus (pineapple). RNAcentral's name for it is "long non-coding RNA (ACOM_LNC022489)". The record is from RNAcentral. Lineage: Eukaryota; Viridiplantae; Streptophyta; Magnoliopsida; Poales; Bromeliaceae.